ACGAUAUGGAGAACCUUAUAGUCUACUGCUAUGUUGCCCCUGCUAGGUAAGAUUUUGUGAUACCGAGACUGUGAGGAAGGAAUACUUCAAAGAAGAAACUGUGCCUCCUGAUUUCCGCGAUUAGGUGACAUGAUUAUUUCUUCAGUAAUUGCAAGUCAGUUCUACCUAUGCCUUUGUGUAACGAUUGAAAUUCUAAAUUGUGCAGAUUAUUUUUAGUUCCUCCAAUCUCUCCUAAAAGCUAUUUUGCAGAAAUGUGCAGGUGGUCUCGGAAACAUGACCUUUAAUUGAUUGAGAAUCGAUUGGCACCCAGGGGGGCUGGCGCCUUCCUAUACCUUUUGAUUAACUUCUCAAAAGUUGCUCAGACGACAACAAACGAUUGGAGAGUCCAGUAAAAAAUGACCCUGUAGUCCUGUACUUGUAUAACUUCUGCGAAGUAGAAUGCUGAGUUUAGGCUGCUGUCUGGAGUGCUCCUGUACCAUAUUUUUCUGGUUUUGGAUGAAGCUAUAUGGACCAAAUUCAUCUCUGUUGAACAAUUGCCAAUUACAUAACUUGUGUUUGCCCAAUUCCAUGGUGUAGUACCAUAACUUCUCAGUGCAGUGCAGACAACACAUGGAUUCCAUUUUUGAUUAAAGUAUCAUCUGCUACAAAUAUGAAUCAUGGUUUAGUUUGUAGACAUCAUAAAGAAACACACAGAUUAAUCAAACCAGUCUUCGAAGAGUCUCUGUGGAUAGGAACGUUCCAAAGCAAAGUAAGAUGCAAGUUGUAUUGCAUAAAAACCAGGUACACAUCAAUCAGCUGCAUUUUGGAAGACUAAACUGCAACACAACUACAUCUGCAAUCACAGAGAAAUCAGGUAUACGACCAAUUGUUAUCUGUUGUAAAUAUUUUGUUUUUUAGGUCAACAACGGAGAGGGUCAAGCGAUCCCCACGUACAGAUGCCAGCAUGGUCUUUUACAUGGUUCCAAGAGGAGGUAAAUCGAGUGUGGCCCUAAAAAGAUCUGCCUUGUGCCACUUCAACACUUUAACCCAGAUGUUGCAUUGUGGUGUGGCAAAGCCUCGAGAAUAUGACAAUAACAGCUGCUCAAAAACUGUUGGUAGGAAUAUUUAUAGCAGCAAAAGAACAAAAUGGAAUGUGUGGUUUCUUAUCUGCCUCAGAUGAGAUAAGAUUUCAGACAUGUGUAUUCAUGUUUUCGAGUGAUUUGGCAGUAUGAAUGCACUAGAUGGUUGGUUGCUUUUUUGUUAAUUGCUUAGGUGAUAUAUGCUGUAUUUCUAGUCACUAGUUGUCGGCGUUUCGAGACCGGGGGGUCCCUAAGCUGACGAGUGAAUGUCGCCGCGUGCCCCAGCCCAGAUGGGUCGACGCGAGGCCGAGCGCGAAGGGGGGAAGUGAGGUGGCCAGAGAUGGGCGUGAGAGAGGUGGAAAUCCCGCGGCCUUCGUGUUCGUCCCGCGCCCAGGUCGGGUGCGCUUGCAGUAGGGGGUUACAAGCGUCCACGCAGGAGAGGGAGCGAGCGGCUCCAAGCGAGCGCCUGUCUCGUCCUCGUCCCCGCGCGGCCAACCCUCUCUAAGAGGGCCCUGGUCCUUCCUUUUAUAGGCGUAAGGAGAGGAUCCAGGUGUACAAUGGGGGGUAUAGCAGAGUGCUACGUGUCUAGCGGAGGAGAGCUAGUGCCCUAAGUACAUGCCGUCGUGGCAGCCAGAGAGAUUUUGGCACCCAGCUGGUGUGAUGUCGUGGCCGUCGAAGGAGUGCUGGAGCCUGGCGGAGGGACAACUGUCGGAGCUGUUGAGUCCUUGCUGACGUCCUCUUGCUUCCGUAAGGGGGCUGAGAGCCGCCGUCGUUGAAAGGAUCACGAUGCCCAAGAGGGGGGGUGAAUUGGGCUUUUCUAAAAAUCAAAACUAAUUAAAGACUAAGCAAGAGCUAAGCAAGAGCCCAACUUCACCCCAACAAUUAGCACUAAGAAUAUAAUACUAGAAAUGCAACAAUGCUAAGACAAUACUUCAAAUACUUGCUAAACAAAUACACAAUGUAAAGUGCUUGAAUUAAGUGCGGAAUGUAAAGCAAGGUUUAGAAGACUCCUCCAAUUUUUCCCGAGGUAUCGAAGAGUCGGCACUCUCCACUAGUCCUCGUUGGAGCACCCGCGCAAGGGUAUCGCUCCCCCUUGGUCCUCGCAAGAACCAAGUGCUCACUACGAGAUGAUCCUUUGCCACUCCGGCGCGGUAGAUCCCUCGAGACCGCUUACAAACUUGAGUCGGGUCACCAACAAGAUCUUCACGGUGAUCACCGAGCUCCCAACGCCACCAAGCCGUCUAGGUGAUGCCGAUCACCAAGAGUAACAAGCCGUAGACUUUCGCUUGACCAAGAGAAGCCUAAUGCAAGUGGUUUGUGCUCUAGGUGGCUCUCACUAGCGCUAAUGAGGAACAAACGCGGAUUAUGAUUCUCUAAUCUCCUCACUAGGCUUUUGGUGCUUGCAAUGCUCUAGCAAUGUGCUGGAAUAAAUGUGGAGUGCAAGACAUUGAAUAUGGUGGGUGGAAGGGGUAUAAAUAGCCCUCACCCACCAACUAGCCGUUACAGGCAUCUCACUGCGCAAUGGCACACCGGACAGUCCGGUGCGCCACCGGUGCGCCACCGGUGCGCCAACGGUCGUUUCCAACGGCUAGUUCUGACAGCUAGCCGUUGGACUCAUGGCACACUGGACAGUCUGGUGAGAUGUCCGGUGCGCCACUAAAAUUCAACUCUCAAACCUGCGCUCUCGGGUUUCUGCGGAGGGAGAGCCUCUGCCCCGGACCAGCCUGGCCCCACUUGGCAGAGAGUGCACCGGACAGUCCGGUGCACACCGGACAGUCCGGUGCCCCAGGGCCAGAAACACUAACUCUUGUUUUUCAACUGAUUUUCAAAUCGGUUUUCGUUCUAACUUAUGAGUGAGUUCUAGAGUGACACCUAGCACUGUAUAUGAGUGUGAUUGUGCUCCAACACUACACUAGAACUCUCUUGGUCAAACUACUCAUCGACAGCCCCUCUUUAUAGUACGGCUAAAAGAGAAUAAAAGACCUAACUAAAUCGCGAGUGUCCACAUCUCCUUGACACUCGGACUCCGUAGACCUUCACCUUUUGUUUCGUCGUUUUAGCCGUCGCUUUGAGUUCUUAUCUCCGGGAUUGUUUUCACCGUUGUAGUACUUCUACCUGUCAUGCGACCUAACUUACCAUUUGUUUCUGCAAAACACACGUUAGUCACAUAUAAUAUUACGUUGUCAUUAAUCACUAAAACCAACCAGGGGCCUAGAUGCUUUCAAUCUCCCCCUUUUUGGUGAUUGAUGACAACCCUACAAGUUUUGUGAGAGGAGUUUGUUUUGAAGUUUCUAUCAAUAGAAAGAAUGGUUAGUUAUACUCAGUAAUCUUUGACAGAAAGAACGUGUAUCAUAAUAAUAAGAGUGAGCGCAUACAUAUCAUAAGAUUCUUGUUCAUAUAGAAGUGAAGUUAAAUCAAUGAAACAAGAACUAGAGGACUGGUGAUAAAAUAUAAGGUGAAAACAUAAUACACACAGUCAAUCAUAAGCAACGAGAGUAUAUGUCGAGUUUGUGAGCCAAAAACAUCAAGCUAGUACAGAGAGUAGCAAGCACAUAUAUUACAUCAAAAUGACUCUCUAACUCCCCCUAGCUCUCACAACUCAUAUCUCUCCCCCUUUGGCGUCAAACACCAAAAGGGACCUGAACCUAAACAUCUGAAGCAGGAGGAGGCGGCGGGGGCGCAUCCGGUCGCGGUCGAGGCAGCAGAGCGAACGCCGGCGGAGGGUCAGAGUCAGUCUCGGAUCCAGGAUCUGCGGUAGAAGCUAGAGCUGGUACUGACUCGGACUGAGGCCGCGCUGCAGGAGCUACCGGAACAGACGCGGUCACAGAUACUGCCACAGCAGUAGUGGUAACAGCAGAUGCUGGUGGCACUGGCGGCUGCGGGCAGACAGAGCUAAGAACCGGAGAGGUGAACGCCAAAGUGACCGGCCGGAGCGGAGAGGUACCAACAGGGGGUCCUAACAAAAUCGAUGGCACCACUGGAGCGUGAAGCGGAGGAGGAACCCCAAAAUCAUCAUCAUCAUCAUCAUCAUCAUCAUCAUCAGCUGUUGUACCCUGAGUGUCAAACUGUCGAAGAGCUGCAUCCUCGGCCUGAGAGUCAAAAAUAGGAGCAGAAGCUGGCACAGGAAUCUCAGGCGCAGGACGGUAGGAUCCAAAAACAAGGCGUGAGGCCUCAAGAGUGCCCUGAAACCGAGGAGGCUGAAUCAGCUGCGCAAAGAUGUGGCACAAGUAGUGAGCAUAGGGCAACUGACGACGAGCAUGAAUCCCAUCCAAAACGGUGUCCUCGAUCUCACAAAUCAGGAAGUCUACGACAUCGAACUCUGAGUGAGAGACCAGGGCACCAAGGAGCCAAAGCUGGAUAUGUGUGGUAGCCUCCCUGUAUCCCAUCCUCGGCAGAAGAGUCCGUCUGAUAAGCUCAUAUAAAUACUUUGCUGCUGUAGUAAAAUCUGCCAGUGAACGUCGCGACCCAUCUGAAAAGGGCGGGCGGAACAGAGCCGCGACGUGAGCUGUACCCGGAGCCACACCGCCGUGAGGGCGAUGAGGAGGGUCAGAAGUGCCGUAGCAGAGACUGUGAAGACGAGUCGUCGACUCGGGAAAUCCAAAAAGCUGGUGGAUCUGACUGGCAGUAAUGGUGACAUCCUCGCGCUCAAACGAAACCUCAUCCAGUGAUGAUCCGGGUCAAUCCAUACAGAGGCGUAGAAGACUCGUACCCACUCCUCAACAUACCUGCCGCUGGUAGUUGGGUCUGAAGUCCAGGCAGAUAGGUGAGGUGCGCCUCAGAGUCAGCGCCGGCUGCAAGCAGAAAGGCUGGAAGAUCCAAAAGUCGGUGCACUCGCAGAGCUAUCUGAGCAGACAUCUGAGCUCUGAAAAACGACUCCUGAAUACGUGUGCUGAAAAGGUCACCUGCUGCAGGGUCUCUCUGAGCUGGUAGCCAAGACUCCAUGGGUACGUAUCUGAACCUACGUACCCGUGCCGUUGUAGCACGUUGAAGGUCAAACAGUCGAGGAUCCGUAGCCAGAGGACGAACCUCAGUCUCAUCGCGCUCCCGGAAUCGAGGUGGAGGGACAGGAGGAGCUGAAGCGGGAGCGGGAGCGGGAGGAGGAGGAGCAGUGGAAGCUGGCAUAGUGGUGGUAGCGGGUAUGGCUGUGGAGGUGGAUGGAGCAAUAGGAGUGACGGGAGCAGGCAGAGUGGGUGGCGGAGUGGAAGCGGAGGUGUGAGUGGAGGAGCGAGGCCGGGAGGCGAGACGACGAACACGGUAGGCGAUCUGAUCUGACGGAGUCUGCGGCUGAUCUCCAAGCUCGGCCUGCGCAGCGGCUGCUGCAGCUGCUGCCGCUGCAUGGGCUGCUCUGUCCGUACGCUGCUUCUUGCGGCCUUCCUGCUGCUCCAAGUAAACAGUCUUGCCCUUGACCUGCCUGAAGGGGCGACGAGGAUCCUCAUCAUCGCCUCCCCUGGCGCCGACACAUUCUUCGUGCGUGGCAUCCUGAACUGAUGUCUGCAAAAUGAGAGAGAGUGACUAAGCACAGAGCAAAAAUGACCGAUAGAUUAGCAAAAGAUGAGAUGACUACCUGGAAAGCUCACACGAGAGGUGACGAUCCAGGCAGGACGGGAGACGGCACACGUGCAAUCAAGGUCACUGAAAUGACAGAAGAGGUGAGCACGUAUUAGUCACAUAGUCAUAAGUAUAUGAAAUGUGAAUAAAUACAUACACAGAGAGAUAUGGCACAGAAAACACGAGACGAGACGAUCGAUAGGUCAAACGGCGUGAAAACGACGUUUGAACGAUAAAAAGUGCCAUAGGAGGUUUGGAAUUCGAAUUGAGGCACAAAACGACAUGGAAUUGAGCCAAAACUUCACGAAUAGGUUAAUGUAGGUGAAUAUGAGUGAAGUGUGUGCUUGGUUUGAAUUUAGGCGAAGAAAAAGAGAUUUGGGCACUCGGCUCGGAAACGAUCGCUCGAAACGGGGAAUUUGGUGAAAUUUAAGCCUGGAAACUCGGAUUGGCGUGAAAUUUGGCAAGGAUGUUGCUGGAAGUGUUGUGAAGGUGCCUAAAAAAUUUGGGUUCAAUUGGAGCAUUUUUGGCUGGUUUGGGCAUUUUACCGAACACGUGGUGGGCGAGAAAUUAGGGUUUCGGAGAAAUGGCCAUUUGAGGAGUGAAAACCCUCCCGAAGGAGCUAAGAACCUGCAGGGAUACACAAUGGGGACAAUUGAACACAUUCUACCUUUUGGAUUCAUUGGAUUUGACAAGAAUUUGAAAAAUGGACAAGGGGUGGAGACUGAGUGCCUCACUGCCUCUCAAACCGAGAGCAGGAGAGAAAAAGAUAGAGGGAAGGAGAGGGGGGAAGUGCUGCUCACCGGAGAGGGGCACGAGAGCACCAGGUCGCCGGAGGGUCGCCGGUAGGGGGAAGGUCGCCGGCGGAGAGAGGGAGACGCCAGAGACAGAGACAGAGACAGAGACAAAGUGCGCUGGCAGGGAAAAGAUGAGCCUCUGGCUCGGUUGCGGGCUGGAGGCCUUUUUUAAAACGCGAUAUGGGCGCACCGAACAGUCUACAGUGCCUGUCUGGUGCACACCGGACAGCGCACAGUAGCUGUCCGGUGAACCACCGGACAGCGCACAGGAAAACGGAUUUUUAGCGCGCGGCUGCCGGUGCACCGGACAUUGCACAGUGCAGUGUCCGGUGCACACCGGACUGUCCGGUGAGCCCAGAUAGAGGGGAGUUUGGAAAAUUUUGAAUUUUUCUAUCUAACUCCCAACCAAACCAAAUCCCAACUUAUAAUCACACAAAAUAACACUUGUUGGGACAGGUUUUGGCACCCUCAUAUACUUUUCAAAAUAUUUUGCCAUAGGCUAGAUAAUUUUUUAGAGAAAAUAGGCAAAUAGUGAAAUUUGCAUUUUGGCUUGCACUAGGGGUUUUCAUGAGUGAUUUGAGUUUUGAAUACUCCCCCUAAGUGCAAUACCUCAUGCAUAUUUCAAGAACCAAUAAUUGCAUAAAAAGCAAGAAUUUAAGUGCUAAAAGCUUAAAACUAAGACUUGUCAAGUUUGACCCGAGUUAAGCUUUUUCACUCGCUUUGUUGGCGGUUAUCUUAACUAGGUUAGACAAGCCCUAGAUGCAAUACAAGGAAUUUAAACAUGUAAUGCAAGCUUGACAACACCAUUUGACAUUUUACAUAAAAUUUCUGAGAUCAAGAAUAUUUAGUUCAUUCCUCAAUAUGCAAAAGCGGGUCUUAUCAAGUGGCUUAGUGAAAAUAUCCGCUAAUUGAUCUUCCGACCUCACUCCUUCUAAAAUGAUAUCUCCUUUAGCAACAUGAUCUCUAAGGAAGUGAUGACGGAUAUCAAUGUGCUUGGUGCGAGAGUGUUGUACAGGAUUAUUAGCAAUUUUAACAGCACUUUCAUUAUCACACAACAAAGGUACCUUUUCUAGAACUACGCCGUAGUCUAGAAGAGUUUGUUUCAUAUAUAAAAUUUGUGUGCAACAAGCACCUGCGGCAAUGUAUUCCGCUUCGGCAGUUGACAAGGCAACACUAUUUUGUUUUUUGGAUGUCCAUGAAACUAGUGAUCUACUAAGCAGAUGGCAUCCCCCAGAAGUACUUUUCCUAUCAAUUUUGCAACCGGCAUAAUCCGAAUCGGAAUAGCCAAUUAAAUCAAAAGUAGCUCCUUUGGGAUACCACAGACCAACGCUUGUGGUGUGCCUGAGAUACCUAAGAAUUCUCUUAACAGCGCGAAGAUGAGCUUUCUUAGGAUUAGAUUGAAAUCUAGCACACAUGCAGACACUAAACAUAAUAUCGGGCCUAGAUGCGGUAAGGUACAAUAAACUACCAAUCAUAGAGCGGUAGAGAGUUUGAUUAACCGGAUUACCUCCCUCAUCUAAGUCGAGAUGUCCAUUUGUAGGCAUGGGGGUCUUGAUUGGUUUGCACUUCUCCAUGUUGAACCUUUUCAACAAGUCUUUGGUAUACUUCUCUUGUGAGAGAAAGUUACCACCUUUCAUUUGCUUGACUUGAAAGCCAAGGAAGUACGUUAGCUCACCAAUCAUUGACAUCUCGAACUCCUUCGACAUCAACUCACCAAAUUCCUUGCAAUGAUAGUCAUUUGUCGAGCCAAAGAUUAUAUCAUCAACAUAUACUUGACAAAUGAAAAUAUCACCGUUAUGUUUCUUUGUGAAGAGAGUUGUGUCGACGGUCCCGAUCUUGAAGCCCUUUUCGAUGAGGAAGUCGCGAAGGCGCUCAUACCAAGCCCUUGGAGCCUGCUUUAGCCCAUAUAGCGCCUUGGACAACCUGUAAGCAUGGUUAGGAUAUCUAGGGUCUUCAAAUCCAGGCGGUUGCUCAACAUAUACAAGUUCAUUUAUGAAGCCAUUUAAAAAUGCACUUUUUACAUCCAUUUGAUAAAGUUUUAUAUCAUAGCAUGAUGCAUAUGCAAGUAGGAUACGGAUGGCUUCCAGUCGAGCAACCGGUGCAAAGGUCUCUCCAAAAUCUAAGCCUUCAACUUGAGAGAAUCCCUUUGCAACAAGUCUUGCCUUGUUUCUUACAAUCACACCUUGAUCAUCUUGUUUGUUUCUGAACACCCACUUUGUUCCAAUGAUUCUUGCAUCUUGUGGGGGCUUCUCCAGGGUCCAAAGUUCGUUACGGGUGAAGUUGUUAAGUUCUUCAUGCAUGGCAUUCACCCAGUCCGGAUCCUGUAGCGCCUCAUCUAUACAAGUAGGCUCAACACAAGAAACAAAAGAGUGAUGUUCAAUAAAAGAAGCAUGUAUAUGUGAUCGAGUAAUAACCCCUUGUGAAGGACUCCCGAUGAUUUGGUUUUGAGGAUGAGCUUGAAGUAGUGAUGAGUUUCUCCUGUCAACCACUUGGGAAGAAGAUCCUGGAGCAUCAAUAUCUUCGGCUUGUACCCUUGCUUGUUCAUGAGAGACAAAUGUAUCUUCAUUUGCAUGUCUCUCAUCUUUUUCAUCAUCUUGUGGUACAUUUGAUGAAGAAGGCCUGUCAAUGAUUUGCACUUCUUCUUCAUCUUCUUUUGGUUUGAUAGCUCCAAUAGGCAUGUUCUUCAUUGCUUCCCUAAGUGGCUCAUCACCUACAUCAUCAAGAUUUUCAAGUGCUCCUUGGGAGCCAUUAGUCUCAUCAAAUUCCACAUCAUAUGUUUCUUCUACCAUGCCAGUGACAUGGUUGAAUACUCGAUAUGCUUUGGACUUUAAUGAAUAACCCAAAAGAAAACCAAUAUCACAACGUCUUUGAAACUUCCCUAGGUGAUGGCGUUUCUUGUAGAUGUAGCAUUUGCACCCAAACACCCGGAAGAAAGAGACGUCUGGCUUUUUCCCAUUUAGCAGUUCAUAAGGAGUCUUCGCAAGUAGCCGGUGAGGAAAUAGCCUGUUUGAUGCAUAACAAGCAGUGUUGACAGCUUCGGCCCAAAACCUCUCUGGUGUGUUAUACUCAUCAAUCAUUGUUCUUGCAAGAGUGAUCAAGGUCCUAUUUUUCCUUUCAACAACUCCAUUUUGUUGAGGUGUGUAUGUGGCAGAUACUUCAUGCUUGAUCCCAAUUUCAUCACAGUACUCAUGAAUAUUGGUGUUGUCAAAUUCUUUGCCAUUGUCACUUCUAAUCUUCUUAAUCUUGCAAUCAAAUUCAUUUUGUGCUUUCUUGGCAAACUUCUUGAAUAUAGAUGCAACUUCAGAUUUGUCAUGGAGAAAGAACACCCAAGUGUAUCUUGAGAAGUCAUCAACAAUCACUAGACAGUAGAGGUUGCCACCGACACUGACAUAAUUUGUAGGUCCAAAUAAAUCCAUAUGAAGUAGUUCCAGUGGCCUUGAUGUUGACAUGAAAGCUUUAGUGGGAUGUGUAUUAGCAACUUGCUUUCCAGCUUGACAUGCACUGCAUGGCUUGUCUUUUUCAAACACCACAUCCCUUAAUCCUCUAACCAUAUCUUUCUUUAAUACCUUCUUGAGUGUGCUCAUCCCAACAUGUGCAAGCCUCCUAUGCCAAAGCCAUCCAAGAGAAGCUUUGGUGAAGAGGCAAGUUCUUAAGUCUGCAUCUUCUGAAGUGAAAUCCACUAAGUAGAGGUUGUUGUAUCUAAAUCCCUUGAAUACCAUUGAUUCAUCAUCCAUUUUUGUUACAAUAACCUCUGUUGGAGUGAAUAAGCAUUGAAGUCCAAGAUCACAGAGUUGACCCACUGAUAAUAAAUUGAAGCUCAAAGGUGCAACUAAGAGAACAUUUGAUAUUGAUAAAUCAUUUGAGAUUGCCACCUUGCCAAGUCCUUGCACUUUUCCUUUUGAAUUGUCUCCAAAUGUGAUUUUAUCUUGACCAUCAACAUUCUCAUCUAGUGAGGUGAACAUCCGUGGGUUGCCUGUCAUAUGUUGUGUGCAUCCACUGUCAAUAACCCAAUGGCUCCCACCGGUCUUGUAGUUCACCUACAUUCACAGACAAUUCAAGCUUGAGUUUUGAGGGCCCUAUAUUGCAUAGGACCAGUGACUCUCUCAAUUAAGGACUUUGCCACCCAGAUUUGUCUAGGUCUACUCUUGUUUGGUGGACCUAGGAAUGUAACCUUAACCUUUCCAUUUGCAACCUUUCUUAGAACAUAGUGAGCAUUGAAAGCAAAUGGUCUUGAGUGCUUAGGCAAGGGAGUUGGUGGUUUGGCUUUGCAGUUGUGGGCAAAGUGACCUUCAUUUCCACACUCAAAGCAUUUGAUAGGCUUGUGAGUCUGCUUUGGCUUGUAUUGAGUGGUAGCUUUCUUUUGCACAAAAGCAUUGUAUCCAAUACCACUCUUGUUGUUUUUCAUAACAGUGUUCAUAAGCAGCUCAUUUUGGAGGUAUUGACCCUUGUUGAACUUUUGCACACUUGUUGCAAGAUGUUCAUUUUCACUUUUUAGUUUCUUGACCUCAUUUUUAAGCCUUUGAUUAUCCACUGCCAACUCAUUGUUGAAAUCAUUGUUCUCAAUAGCAACCUUUCCUCUAGUAGUUGCAUCAGUCAAAUAAUUCUUCAACUUUUGGUUGUCUAAAGUCAGGACUUCAACUUUUUCAGUCAAUUCAGCAUGUAGACUAGUUUGCUCUUCUUGACUCAAAUCAUCACAUGAGGUUGCUACAUCAAACUUAACAACAGGGUUAAUAGCCUCAUGUGUUUUGCAAGAUAAAAGUUCAUUUUCAACAAGAAGAUUGUCAUGAUCAAAUUUAAUUUGAGUAUAGUCUUCCUUGAUCUUUACUAGUCUAUUUUGCAACUCCCUAUUAGCUUCAUUUAAUUUGUCAUAUUUUUCCUUAGCAUCUUUUAGGGAGUUUGUGAGCUCAUUUAUAGUUGAUGACAUAGUUUUAUUCUCUUCUUUUAUUUCAUCACUAGCCUUUAUAACUAUGUCAUAUUUGGCAUUUAAAGAUUCAUUUUCAUUUUUCAACCUAUCACAUUUAGCUUUUGACUUUCUAAUGAUUUGAGUAUAUUCUUUAAGCAAGUCAGCUAACUCAUCAUAUGAAGGUGAAGCAAAUUCCUCAUCACUAUCACUAUCACUAUCAUCAGCAAUAUUAAUAUCAUUUUGUACCUUCCGUUCACCCCUAGCCAUGAGGCAUAGAUGAGAAGUCGAUGAUGGCGAUGGUGGUGGUGAAGAGAAGUCCCCGGCGAUGGUGGCAACUUUUUCAUCAUUCUCUUCUUCACUUGAAGAAGACCCACUUGAUGAUUCGAUGUCGGUGAGCCAGUCGCCAACAAUAUAUGCCUUUCCAUUCUUCUUCUUGUGGAACCUCUUUUGCUUCCCAUCCUUCCUCUUGAAGAAUUUCUUUUCCUUCUUUUCAUCAUCGAUGUCAUCUUCUUUCUUGCCCUUGAACUUAUUCUUCUUGGGCUUGUUGCAUUGAUGAGCAAGAUGACCGAGCUCACCACAGUUGUAGCAGUCCAUCUCAGAAAUGGGCUUUCUUUUGUUGGAAAAGAAUUUCUUCUUCCUUGAAUCAAAUUUGAUGCCUUCUCUAUUUAGCUUCUUCAACAUCUUGGUGGUCUUCCUUACCAUCAAGGCAAUGUUUGCAUCAAGGUCAUCAUCACUUGAGGAUUCUUCCUUAACUUGUAUUUUUGCUUUUCCUUUUCUUUCAUGAUUUGCUUUGAGAGCCAAAUCCUUUCUUUUGGAAGAUGAUUCUUCUUUGUUGUUGAUGUGCAUGUACAUUUCAUGGGCAUUGAUCUUUCCCAAAAUUUGUGUAGGUGUGGUAACUGAAAGAUCCAUUUGAUGUAGCACAGUGACAAUGUGUCCAUAUUUGUCUAUUGGGAGGACACUGAGAAUCUUCCUCACAACAUCCGGUUGUGAGAUUUGAGUAAGCCCCAAUCCAUUAACUUCCUCUACAAGAAUAUUAAGUCGUGAGUACAUAGCAUUUGCAUUUUCAUUAGUAAGCAUUUCAAAAGAAUUUAACUUUCGCAUGGCUAUGUGAUAUCUUUCCUCACGUUCACUUCUAGUUCCUUCGUGUAGAGCACAAAUGUCCAUCCACAAAUUAUGAGCAUUUUUAUGAUUUCUUACUCUAUUGAACACAUCUUUGCAAAGGCCUCUAAAAAGGGUGUUUUUGGCCUUAGCAUUCCAUUUCUCAUAAUUGAACUCAUCACCUACAAGAUUUGUGGGAUCUCUAGGUUCGGGGAAUCCUUGUGUGGCGGCUUUAUAGACACCAAUGUCUAUAGCCUCUAAGUAUGCUUCCAUACGAAUUUUCCAAUAAGGAAAAUCGUCACCAUCAAAAACGGGAGGAGGUCCAUCCCCACCGGACAUCGUAACUCUAGCGGUUAAGCUAAUCUAUGAGCAACAAGGCUCUGAUACCAAUUGAAAGGAUCAUGAUGCCCAAGAGGGGGGUGAAUUGGGCUUUUCUAAAAAUCAACACUAAUUAAAGACUAAGCAAGAGCCUAACUUCACCCCAACAAUUAGCACUAAGAAUAUAAUACUAGAAAUGCAACAAUGCUAAGACAAUACUUCAAAUACUUGCUAAACAAAUACACAAUGUAAAGUGCUUGAAUUAAGUGCGGAAUGUAAAGCAAGGUUUAGAAGACUCCUCCAAUUUUUUCCGAGGUAUCGAAGAGUCGACACUCUCCACUAGUCCUCGUUGGAGCACCCGCGCAAGGGUAUCGCUCCCCCUUGGUCCUCGCAAGAACCAAGUGCUCACUACGAGAUGAUCCUUUGCCACUCCGGCGCGGUAGAUCCCUCGAGACCGCUUACAAACUUGAGUCGGGUCACCAACAAGAUCUUCACGGUGAUCACCGAGCUCCCAACGCCACCAAGCCGUCUAGGUGAUGCCGAUCACCAAGAGUAACAAGCCGUAGACUUUCGCUUGACCAAGAGAAGCCUAAUGCAAGUGGUGUGUGCUCUAGGUGGCUCUCACUAGCGCUAAUGAGGAACAAACGCGGAUUAUGAUUCUCUAAUCUCCUCACUAGGCUUUUGGUGCUUGCAAUGCUCUAGCAAUGUGCUAGAAUAAAUGUGGAGUGCAAGACAUUGAAUAUGGUGGGUGGAGGGGGUAUAAAUAGCCCUCACCCACCAACUAGCCGUUACAGGCAUCUCACUGCGCAAUGGCGCACCGGACAGUCCGGUGCGCCACCGGUGCGCCAACGGUGCGCCACCGGUGCGCCAACGGUCGUUUCCAACGGCUAGUUCUGACAGCUAGCCGUUGGACUCAUGGCACACCGGACAGUGAACAGUUCACUGUCCGGUGCACACCGGACAGUCCGGUGAGAUGUCCGGUGCGCCACUAAAAUUCAACUCUCAAACUUGCGCUCUCGGGUUUCUGCGGAGGGAGAGCCUCUGCCCCGGACCAGCCUGGCCCCACUUGGCAGAGGGUGCACCGGACAGUCCGGUGCCCCAGGGCCAGAAACACUAACUCUUGUUUUUCAGCUGAUUUUCAAAUCGGUUUUCGUUCUAACUUAUGAGUGAGUUCUAGAGUGACACCUAGCACUGUAUAUGAGUGUGAUUGUGCACCAACACUACACUAGAACUCUCUUGGUCAAACUACUCAUCGACAACCCCUCUUUAUAGUACGGCUAAAAGAGAAUAAAAGACCUAACUAAAUCGCGAGUGUCCACAUCUCCUUGACACUCGGACUCCGUAGACCUUCACCUUUUGUUUCGUCGUUUUAGCCGUCGCUUUGAGUUCUUAUCUCUGGGAUUGUUUUCACCGUUGUAGUACUUCUACCUGUCAUGCGACCUAACUUACCAUUUGUUUCUGCAAAACACACGUUAGUCACAUAUAAUAUUACGUUGUCAUUAAUCACUAAAACCAACCAGGGGCCUAGAUGCUUUCAGUCGUCACAGAGUAUGCGGGGCGCCAUCAUUGCCAAUCUGGCGGAGCGAGCCAGAUGGGACGCCGGUCUUGUUCCCCGUGGCCCGAGUCAGCUCGGGGUAGGGUGAUGAUGGCGCCUCCUGUUGACUUGGCUGGUCUGCGCCCUAGGUUGGGCGAUGUGGAAGCUCCUCCGAAGCCGAGAUCGAGUCUGUCUUCCGUGGUCGAGGUCGAGUCCGAGCCCCUGGUUCGGGCGAGGCGGAGACCGUCGGCUGAGGCCAGGGCGGAGUCCGAGCCCUGGGGUCGGGCGGAGCGGAGUUCGUCGUCUUCUGGGGCUGAGCCCAAGUCCGAGCCCUGGGUCGGGCGGAGCGGAGUUCGUCGUCUUCCGGGGCUGAGCCCGAGUCCGAGCCCUAGGUCGGGCGGAGCGGAGUUCGUCGUCUUCCGGGGCUGAGCCCGAGUCCGAGCCCUGGAUCGGGUGGAGCGGAGUUCGCCGUCUUCCGGGGCUUAGCCCGAGUCCGAGCCCUGGGUCGGGCGGAGCGGAGUUCGCCGUCUUCCGGGGCUUAGCCCGAGUCCGAGCCCUGGGUCGGGCGGAGCGGAGUUCGCCGUCUUCCGGGGCUUAGCCCGAGUCCGAGUCCGAGCCCUGGGUCGAGCGAAGCGGAGCUUCCUAUGGUGCCUGCGGCCGGGCCUGACUGCCUGUCAGCCUCACUCUGUCAAGUGGCACUGCAGUCGGAGCGGCGCAGGCGGCGCUGCCUUUCUGUCAGACCGGCCAGUGGAGCGGCAAAGUGACGGCGGUCACUUCGGCUCUGUCGGCUGGGGGGCGCGCGUCAGGAUAAAGGUGUCAGGCCACCUUUGCAUUAAAUGCUCCUGCGAUUUGGUCGGUCGGUGCGACGAUUUGGUCAGGGUUGCUUCUUAGCGAAGACAGGGCCUCGGGCGAGCCGGAAAUAUGUUCGCCGCUGGAGGGGGCCUCGGGCGAGACGGAGAUCCUCCGGGGUCGGCUGCCCUUGUCCGAGGCUAGGCUCGGGCGAGGCGUGAUCGAGUCCCUCGUAUGGACUGAUCCCUGACUUAAUCGCACCCAUCAGGCCUUUGCAGCUUUAUGCUGAUGGGGGUUACCAGCUGAGAAUUAGGAGCCUUGAGGGUACCCCUAAUUAUGGUCCCUGACAGUAGCCCCCGAGCCUCGAAGGGAGUGUUAGCACUCGCUUGGAGGCUUUCGUCGCACUUUUUUGCAAGGGGACCAGCCUUUCUCGGUUGUGUUUUGUUCCGGUGGGUGCGCGCGAGCGCACCCGCCGGGUGUAGCCCCCGAGGCCUCGGAGGAGUGGUUUGACUCCUCCGAGGUCUUAAUGCCUCGCGCAAUGCUUCGGCUGGUCUGGUCGUUCCCUCAUGCGAGCUGGCCGUAGCCCGGGUGUACGGUCGGGUCCCAAGUUCUCGGGCUGGUAUGUUGACGCUGUCAACGGUGUGGCUGGAGCCGGGUUCGCGAGAGCAGCCCCCAAGCCUCUGCACAGGGCGAGAGGGCAGUCAGGGACAGACUCGACUUUUUUAUAUACGCCCCUGCGUCGCCUUUCCGCAAGGAGGAGGGGGGGAAAGCGCCAUGCUGCCCUCGGUGGGCGCCGAACAUGGUGUCUCCGGUGAGCUGCAGGCGGGUAAUCCGAGUGGACGUCCGUGCCCCGUUCAUUAGGGGUCGGCUAGGGGCCCAAAGGCGCGCCCAAAAGUACCUGCGGGUGAACUGCCGGACCCGGUCCCCUGGCGACGGGGUCCGAGGGCUCGAUGCCUCCCUCCGAUGGGAUUCCGUUACAAGAUCGUUCCCGCUGGUCUCGGAAAUGUCCUAGGGUACCUCGGGAGCGCAGCCCGAGCCUUGGUUAUGUAUCGAACGUACCCAUGGUCAUCCCUCGCUCUGUGUCUGAGGCGGCUGUGAACCUGAAAGGGAAAUGUGCCCUUGGGCCAUUUCUAAGUAUUUUGGUGAUUGAGUGCCAACGCAAGUGCUUUUGUGUUGAUCUAUGCAAUGUGGUGGACAAAGUGCAAAUCAUGUCAAAAGGUAUGUUUCUAAACUUAGUACAUUAUUUUAUGGACUAAUGGGUUGUGUCUAAGUGCUGGAAACAGGAAAAGUCGAAUUGGAAAUGAGAUGGCUUUGUUUAGCCAAGUCUGCUCAGUCUGGGAGCACCGGACUGUCCGGUGGUGCACCGGACAGUGUCCGGUGCGCCAGGCUGGUUCGAGCGAAGUGGCCGCUCUCGGGAAUUCACUGGCGACGUACGGCUAUAAUUCACCGGACUGUCCGGUGUGCACCGGACUGUCCGGUGAGGCAACGGUCGGCCGCGCGAUCUGCGCGGGACACGUGGCCGAGCCAACGGCUAGAAGGGGGCACCGGACUGUCCGGUGUGCACCAGACAUGUCCGGUGCGCCAACGGCUCUCUGGCUGCCAACGGUCGGCUGCGUCAGUUAAGGAAAGAAAUCGGGCACCGGACAGUGUCCGGUGUGCACCAGACUGUCCGGUGCGCCAGACGACAGAAGGCAAGAAUUGCCUUCCCAGAUUGCUCUCAACGGCUCCUGGCUGCCUUGAAGCGAAUUCUUAGAUAUUUAGUUGCUACGCCUUGCUUCGGGAUCUGGUAUCCAAAGGGGUCUACCUUUGACUUAAUCGGAUAUUCAGAUUCUGACUAUGCUGGAUGUAAGGUCGAUAGGAAGAGUACAUCGGGGACGUGCCAAUUCUUAGGAAGGUCCCUGGUGUCAUGGAACUCCAAGAAACAAACUUCCGUUGCCCUAUCCACCGCUGAGGCCGAGUAUGUUGCCGCAGGACAGUGUUGCGCGCAACUACUUUGGAUGAGGCAAACCCUCAGGGACUUUGGCUACAAUCUGAGCAAAGUCCCACUCCUAUGUGAUAAUGAGAGUGCUAUCCGCAUGGCGGAAAAUCCUAUUGAACACAGCCGCACAAAGCACAUAGACAUCCGGCAUCACUUUUUGAGAGACCACCAGCAAAAGGGAGAUAUCGAAGUGUUUCAUGUUAGCACCGAGAACCAGCUAGCCGAUAUCUUUACCAAGCCUCUAGAUGAGAAGACCUUUUGCAGGUUGCGUAGUGAGCUAAAUAUUUUAGAUUCACGGAACUUGGAUUGAUUUGUAGCAUACAUGUGUUUAUGCCUUUGAUCAUGUUCCUUAUGCAUUUUGUUGCUUAAUAAUGGUGCUCAAGUUGUACAAACACUCCCUGGACCUCACAAGUCCUUUUUGCAAGUGAUGCACAUAUUUAGGGGGAGUUGUGCUACAACUUGACCCUUUGAGACUAACCAUGUGCUUGAGUUUGCUUGUUUUAGUCUUAAAGGAGGUUUGAAGGGGAAAAGGUGGACUUGGACCAUAAAAGACUUCCACUGCACUCCGAUGAGAGGGUAACUUAUUCCAAGUUCAUCUCAUGUCCUCUUAUUGCCCUUGUAUUCUUAUUGAAGAUUUUGGUGAGGCAAUGGGGUUCCCGGGCCAAGAUUCAUCCCGUUUUGGUGCUUGAUGCCAAAGGGGGAGAAAAUAAAGGCCAAAGCGAUAAAUGGAUCAGCUACCACUUGAGAGAUUUUGAAAAUAGUAGAAUAGAGCUUUUGGUUUGUCAAAACUCUUUUAUUGUCUCUCUUGUCAAAAGUUGGCUUCUUGUGGGGAGAAAUGUUGAUUAUGGGAAAAAGGGGAGUUUUUGAUUUCUUGAAUCAAUUUAUCUUGCAAUGACUCUCUAUGUCUUAACAUGUGUGUUUGACUUAGAGAUAGAAAUUUGAGUUUGAUUUGCAAAAACAAACCAAGUGGUGGCAAAGAGUGAUCCAUAUAUGUCAAGUUUUAAUCAAAACAAAUUUGAGUUUUAUUUGAAGUGAUUUUGCACUUGUUCUACUUGCUUUAUGUUAUGUUGGCAUAAAUCACCAAAAAGGGGGAGAUUGAAAGGGAAAUGUGCCCUUGGGCCAUUUCUAAGUAUUUUGGUGAUUGAGUGCCAACGCAAGUGCUUUUGUGUUGAUCUAUGCAAUGUGGUGGACAAAGUGCAAAUCAUGUCAAAAGGUAUGUUUCUAAACUUAGUACAUUAUUUUAUGGACUAAUGGGUUGUGUCUAAGUGCUGGAAACAGGAAAAAUCGAAUUGGAAAUGAGAUGGCUUUGUUCAGCCAAGUCUGCUCAGUCUGGGAGCACCAGACUGUCCGGUGGUGCACCGGACAGUGUCUGGUGCGCCAGGCUAGUUCGAGCGAAGUGGCCGCUCUCGGGAAUUCACUGGCGACGUACGACUAUAAUUCACCGGACUGUCCAGUGUGCACCGGACUGUCCGGUGAGGCAACGGUCGGCCGGGCCAACGGUCGGCCGCGCGAUCUGCACGGGACACGUGGCCGAGCCAACGGCUAGAAGGGGGCACCGGACUGUCCGGUGUGCACCGGACAUGUCCGGUGCGCCAACAGCUCUCUGGCUGCCAACGGUCGGCUGCGUCAGUUAAGGAAAGAAAUCGGGCACCGGACAGUGUCCGGUGUGCACCAGACUGUCCGGUGCGCCAGACGACAGAAGGCAAGAAUUGCCUUCCCAGAUUGCUCUCAACGGCUCCUGGCUGCCUUGGGGCUAUAAAGGGACCCCUAGGCGCAUGGAGGAGGACACCAAAGCAUACUCACAACAUUCCUAAGCACCAAGACAUCGAUUCCGCGCAUUUGUUUCUUUGUGAUAGCAUAUAGAGCUCUUGUGGAGUUGUGAACUCAUUGAGUUGUGUUGCGAGCUCUUGUUGCGACUUGUGUGCGUGUUGUUGCUCUGAUUUUUGAGUCUUGUGUGAGUUGCUCAUCCCUCCCUUACUCCGUGAUUCUUUGUGAACAUCAAAAGUGUAAGGGCGAGAGGCUCCAAGUUGUGGAGAUUCCUCGCAAACGGGAUAAGAAAAGAAAAGCAAAACACCGUGGUAUUCAAGUUGAUCAUUAGAUCACUUGAGAGGAGUUGAGUGCAACUCUCGUCCGUUGGGACGCCACAACGUGGAGUAGGCAAGCGUUGGUCUUGGCCGAACCACGGGAUAAACCACUGUGUCAUCUCUGUGAUUGUUCUCUUGUGGUUAUUGUGUUUUGCUAAGACUUCUCUCUAGCCACUUGGUGAUUAUUGUGCUAACACUUCACCAAGUUUUGUGGCUCAAGUUUUAAGUUUUACAGGAUCACCUAUUCACCCCCCCUCUAGGUGCUCUCAAUUGGUAUCGGAGCCGUUCUCUUCAAGAAAGGGACUAACUACCCGAAGAGAUGGAUCCUAAGGGGAAGGGAAUCGUGAUCAACGACAAGGAGAAGGAGUCCUUCGUCAACGAGCCGAAGGACGACAAGCCUACCGACUCGGGCUCGGGUCAUAGACGCAAAGAUGGGAAGAAGAAGAAGACAAGACGCAUCAAGGAGAUUGUCUACUACGACGACAGCGAUGAGUCCACUUCUUCCCAAAAGGACAACGACAACAACGACUGCGAGAGAAGGAAACCAGUUAAUUCAAACUUUUCUUUUGACUACUCUCGUAUUCCGCAAAGUACAAAUGCUCAUUUACUAUCCAUUCCACUUGGUAAACCUCCUCACUUUGAUGGAGAGGACUACGGAUUUUGGAGUCACAAAAUGCGUAGUCAUUUGUUCUCUCUCCAUCCGAGCAUAUGGGAGAUAGUUGAGAAUGGAAUGCAUUUUGAUAGUAAUGAUAGUCCCAUGUUUAUCAAUGAGCAAAUUCAUAAAAAUGCACAAGCUACUACUGUUCUUCUAGCUUCCUUGUGCAGGGAUGAAUACCACAAAGUGAGCGGCUUGGAUAACGCCAAGCAAAUUUGGGACACCCUCAAGAUCUCUCAUGAGGGGAAUGAUGUCACAAUGCUCACCAAGAUGGAGUUGGUGGAAGGCGAACUCGGGAGAUUCGCUAUGAUAAGGGGAGAAGAGCCAACUCAAACGUACAACCGGCUAAAGACCCUUGUCAACAAGAUAAGAAGCUAUGGAAGCACACGAUGGACGGACCACGACGUCGUCCGCCAAAUGCUAAGGUCUUUUACUGUCCUUGAUCCUCAUCUUGUAAACAAUAUUCGUGAGAAUCCUAGGUACAUCAAGAUGACGCCCGAGGAGAUACUUGGAAAGUUCGUAAGCGGGCGAAUGAUGAUCAAGGAAGCAAGAUACGUGGACGACGUAUUGAAUGGUCCAAUCAAUGAGCCUCAACCUCUUGCUCUCAAGGCAACAAGAAGCAAGGAGACGCUACCUAGCAAGGUGGCACAAAUUGAGGCGGCCGGACUUAACGAUGAAGAGAUGGCUCUCAUCAUCAAGAGAUUCAAGACGGCGCUAAAAGGUCGCAAGGGGCAGCCAAGCCAGACCAAGACAAAGGGGAAGCGCUCAUGCUUCAAAUGUGGUAAGCUUGGUCAUUUUAUUGCUAACUGUCCCGACAAUGAUAGUGAUCAGGAUCAAGGGAACAAGAGGGAGAAGAAGAAGAACUAUAAGAAGGCAAAGGGCGAGGCGCAUCUAGGCAAGGAGUGGGAUUCAGAUUGCUCCUCUUCCGACUCCGACAAUGAAGGACUCGCCGCCACCGCCUUCAACAAGUCAUCCCUCUUCCCCAACGAGCGUCACACAUGCCUUAUGGCAAGGGAGAAGAAGGUAUGUACUCGAAACUCUACUUAUGCUUCUUCAAGUGAGUACGAAUCUAGUGAUGAGGAUGAAAUAGAUUAUUCAUGUCUAUUUAAGGGCCUAGAUAGAACCAAGGUAGAUAAAAUUAAUGAAUUGAUUGAUGCCUUGAAUGAUAAGAAUAGGCUUUUAGAAAAACAAGAGGACUUGUUGUAUGAAGAACAUGACAAAUUUGUAGAAGCACAAAAAUCUCAUGCUCUAGAAGUUAAAAGAAAUGAAAUGCUUUCUUGUGAAUUAUCUUCUUGCCAUGAGACAAUUUCUAACUUAAGGAGCAUUAAUGAUGAUUUGAAUGCUAAGUUAGAAAUAGCUAGUAAAUCAACAUCUUGUGUAGAAAACGAUGUUAUUUGCAAUAGGUGUAAAGAUAUUGAUAUUGAUGCUUGUAGUGAACACAUAGCCUCUAUUGCAAAAUUAAAUGAUGAAGUUGCUAGUCUUAAUGCCCAACUUAAGACUAGCAAAAGUGAAUUUGACAAAUUAAAAUUUGCAAGGGAUGCCUACACAAUUGGGAGACACCCCUCAAUUAAGGAUGGUCUUGGCUUCAAGAGGGAAGUCAAGAACUUUACAAGCCAUAAGGCUUCCAUAUCCACACAGGAGAAAGGGAAGGCCCCUAUGGCGAGUAGUGCUAAAAAGAACCAUGCCUUCAUGUACCAUGAUAGAAAAUUUUCUAGAAAUGUUUAUGAUGAUAGGAGUUGUAAUGCUUAUAAUGCUUUUGACUCUCAUGCCAUGUUUGCUUCUAGUUCUUCCUAUAUGCAUGGUAGAAAUGUGUUUAGAAGAAAUGUUGUUCAUCAUAUGCCUAGGAGAAAUGUUGUCAAUAUUCCUAGGAAAGUUAAUGAACCUUCUACAAUUUAUCAUGCUUGUGAUGCUUCAUUUGCAAUUUGUAGAAAGGAUAGAAAGGUGAUUGCUAGGAAAUUAGGGGCAAAAUGCAAGGGAGAUAAAACUUGCAUUUGGGUCCCUAAGACAAUUGUGACUAACCUUGUAGGACCCAACAAGAGUUGGGUACCUAAGUCCCAAGCCUAAAUUUGCCUUGCAGGUUUAUGCAUCCGGGGGUUCAAGCUGGAUUAUCGACAGCGGAUGCACAAACCAUAUGACGGGGGAGAAGAAGAUGUUCACCUCCUACGUCAAAAACAAGGAUUCCCAAGAUUCAAUAAUUUUCGGUGAUGGGAACCAAGGCAAGGUAAACAGGUGGGAGGAGCACAUCACAGCAAGAAUGUGAUGACCACAUCAAGGCCUCUGGAGCUGCUACAUAUGGACCUCUUUGGACCCGUCGCUUAUCUAAGCAUAGGGGGAAGUAAGUAUGGUUUAGUUAUUGUGGAUGACUUUUCCCGCUUCACUUGGGUAUUCUUAUUGCAGGAUAAGUCUGAGACCCAAGGAACCCUCAAGCGCUUCCUAAGGAGAGCUCAAAAUGAGUUUGAGCUCAAGAUAAAGAAGAUAAGGAGCAACAACGGGUCUGAGUUCAAGAACCUUCAAGUGGAGGGGUUCCUUGAGGAGGAAGGGAUCAAGCACGAGUUCUCCGCCCCCUACACACCACAACAAAAUGGUGUGGUAGAGAGGAAGAACAGGACGCUCAUCGAUAUGGCGAGGACAAUGCUUGGAGAGUUCAAGACCCCCGAGUGUUUUUGGUCGGAAGCCAUGAACACGGCUUGCCAUGCCAUCAACAGGGUCUACCUUCAUCGCCUCCUCAAGAAGACGUCGUAUGAGCUGCUAACCGGUAACAAACCCAAUGUGUCGUACUUUCGUGUAUUUGGGAGUAAAUGCUACAUUCUAGUGAAGAAGGGUAGAAAUUCUAAGUUUGCUCCCAAAGCUGUAGAAGGGUUUUUGUUAGGUUAUGACUCAAAUACAAAGGCGUAUAGGGUCUUCAACAAAUCAUCGGGUUUGGUUGAAGUCUCUAGCGACGUUGUAUUUGAUGAGACUAAUGGCUCUCCAAGAGAGCAAGUUGUUGAUCUUGAUGAUGUAGAUGAAGAAGAUGUUCCGACGGCCGCUAUAAGAACCAUGGCGAUUGGUGAAGUACGACCACAGGAACAAGAGGAGCAAGAUCAACCUUCUUCCUCAACUAUGGUGCAUCCCCCAACUCAAGACGAUGAACAGGUUCAUCAACAGGAGGCGUGUGAUCAAGGGGGAGCACAAGAUGAUCAUGUGAUGGAGGAAGAAACUCAACCGGCACCUCCAACCCAAGUUCGAGCGAUGAUUCAAAGGGAUCAUCCCGUCGACCAAAUUCUGGGUGAUAUUAGCAAGGGAGUAACUACUCGAUCUCGAUUAGUUAAUUUUUGUGAGCAUUACUCCUUUGUCUCUUCUAUUGAGCCUUUCAGGGUAGAAGAGGCCUUGCUAGAUCCGGACUGGGUGUUGGCCAUGCAAGAGGAGCUUAACAACUUCAAGAGAAACGAAGUUUGGACGCUGGUGCCUCGUCCUAAGCAAAAUGUUGUGGGAACCAAGUGGGUGUUCCGCAACAAACAAGACGAGCACGGAGUGGUGACGAGGAACAAGGCUCGACUUGUGGCAAAAGGUUAUGCCCAAGUCGCAGGUUUGGACUUUGAGGAGACUUUUGCUCCUGUGGCUAGGCUAGAGUCCAUUCGUAUUUUGCUAGCAUAUGCCGCUCACCAUUCUUUCAGGUUGUUCCAAAUGGAUGUGAAGAGCGCUUUCCUCAACGGGCCAAUCAAGGAGGAGGUGUACGUGGAGCAACCCCCUGGCUUCGAGGAUGAACGGUACCCCGACCAUGUGUGUAAGCUCUCUAAGGCGCUCUAUGGACUUAAGCAAGCCCCAAGAGCAUGGUAUGAAUGCCUUAGAGACUUUCUAAUUGCUAAUGCUUUCAAGGUUGGGAAAGCCGAUCCAACUCUUUUCACUAAGACUUGUGACGGUGAUCUUUUUGUGUGCCAAAUUUAUGUCGAUGACAUAAUAUUUGGUUCUACUAAUAAAAAGUCUUGUGAAGAGUUUAGCAGGGUGAUGACGCAGAAAUUCGAGAUGUCGAUGAUGGGCGAGUUGAACUACUUCCUUGGGUUCCAAGUGAAGCAACUCAAGGACGGCACCUUCAUCUCCCAAACGAAGUACACGCAAGACUUGCUAAAGCGGUUUGGGAUGAAGGACGCCAAGCCCGCAAAGACUCCGAUGGGAACCGACGGACACACCGACCUCAACAAAGGAGGUAAGUCCGUUGAUCAAAAAGCAUACCGGUCAUUGAUAGGAUCGUUACUUUACUUAUGUGCUAGUAGACCGGAUAUUAUGCUUAGCGUAUGCAUGUGUGCUAGAUUUCAAUCCGAUCCUAAGGAGUGUCACUUAGUGGCGGUGAAGCGAAUUCUUAGAUAUUUAGUUGCUACGCCUUGCUUCGGGAUCUGGUAUCCAAAGGGGUCUACCUUUGACUUAAUCGGAUAUUCAGAUUCUGACUAAGCUGGAUGUAAGGUCGAUAGGAAGAGUACAUCGGGGACGUGCCAAUUCUUAGGAAGGUCCCUGGUGUCAUGGAACUCCAAGAAACAAACUUCCGUUGCCCUAUCCACCGCUGAGGCCGAGUAUGUUGCCGCAGGACAGUGUUGCGCGCAACUACUUUGGAUGAGGCAAACCCUCAGGGACUUUGGCUACAAUCUGAGCAAAGUCCCACUCCUAUGUGAUAAUGAGAGUGCUAUCCGCAUGGCGGAAAAUCCUGUUGAACACAGCCGCACAAAGCACAUAGACAUCCGGCAUCACUUUUUGAGAGACCACCAGCAAAAGGGAGAUAUCGAAGUGUUUCAUGUUAGCACCGAGAACCAGCUAGCCGAUAUCUUUACCAAGCCUCUAGAUGAGAAGACCUUUUGCAGGUUGCGUAGUGAGCUAAAUGUCUUAGAUUCGCGGAACUUGGAUUGAUUUGUAGCAUACAUGUGUUUAUGCCUUUGAUCAUGUUCCUUAUGCAUUUUGUUGCUUAAUAAUGGUGCUCAAGUUGUACAAACACUCCCCGGACCUCACAAGUCCUUUUUGCGAGUGAUGCACAUAUUUAGGGGGAGCUGUGCUACAACUUGACCCUUUGAGACUAACCAUGUGCUUGAGUUUGCUUGUUUUAGUCUUAAAGGAGGUUUGAAGGGGAAAAGGUGGACUUGGACCAUAAAAGACUUCCACUGCACUCCGAUGAGAGGGUAACUUAUUCCAAGUUCAUCUCAUGUCCUCUUAUUGCCCUUGUAUUCUUAUUGAAGAUUUUGGUGAGGCAAUGGGGUUCCCGGGCCAAGAUUCAUCCCGUUUUGGUGCUUGAUGCCAAAGGGGGAGAAAAUAAAGGCCAAAGCGAUAAAUGGAUCAGCUACCACUUGAGAGAUUUUGAAAAUAGUAGAAUAGAGCUUUUGGUUUGUCAAAACUCUUUUAUUGUCUCUCUUGUCAAAAGUUGGCUUCUUGUGGGUAGAAAUGUUGAUUAUGGGAAAAAGGGGAGUUUUUGAUUUCUUGAAUCAAUUUCUCUUGCAAUGACUCUCUUUAUGUCUUAACAUGUGUGUUUGACUUAGAGAUAGAAAUUUGAGUUUGAUUUGCAAAAACAAACCAAGUGGUGGCAAAAGAGUGAUCCAUAUAUGUCAAGUUUUAAUCAAAACAAAUUUGAGUUUUAUUUGAAGUGAUUUUGCACUUGUUCUACUUGCUUUAUGUUAUGUUGGCAUAAAUCACCAAAAAGGGGGAGAUUGAAAGGGAAAUGUGCCCUUGGGCCAUUUCUAAGUAUUUUGGUGAUUGAGUGCCAACGCAAGUGCUUUUGUGUUGAUCUAUGCAAUGUGGUGGACAAAGUGCAAAUCAUGUCAAAAGGUAUGUUUCUAAACUUAGUACAUUAUUUUAUGGACUAAUGGGUUGUGUCUAAGUGCUGGAAACAGGAAAAAUCAAAUUGGAAAUGAGAUGGCUUUGUUCAGCCAAGUCUGCUCAGUCUGGGAGCACCGGACUGUCCGGUGGUGCACCGGACAAUGUCCGGUGCGCCAGGCUGGUUCGAGCGAAGUGGCCGCUCUCGGGAAUUCACUGGCGACGUACGGCUAUAAUUCACCGGACUGUCCGGUGUGCACCGGACUGUCCGGUGAGGCAACGGUCGGCCGGGCCAACGGUCGGCCGCGCGAUCUGCGCGGGACACGUGGCCGAGCCAACGGCUAGAAGGGGGCACCGGACUGUCCGGUGUGCACCGGACAUGUCCGGUGCGCCAACGGCUCUCUGGCUGCCAACGGUCGGCUGCGUCAGUUAAGGAAAGAAAUCGGGCACCGGACAGUGUCCGGUGUGCACCGGACUGUCCGGUGCGCCAGACGGCAGAAGGCAAGAAUUGCCUUCCCAGAUUGCUCUCAACGGCUCCUGGCUGCCUUGGGGCUAUAAAAGGGACCCCUAGGCGCAUGGAGGAGGACACCAAAGCAUACUCACAACAUUCCUAAGCACCAAGACAUCGAUUCCGCGCAUUUGUUUCUUUGUGAUAGCAUAUAGAGCUCUUGUGGAGUUGUGAACUCAUUGAGUUGUGUUGCGAGCUCUUGUUGCGACUUGUGUGCGUGUUGUUGCUCUGAUUUUUGAGUCUUGUGUGAGUUGCUCAUCCCUCCCUUACUCCGUGAUUCUUUGUGAACAUCAAAAGUGUAAGGGCGAGAGGCUCCAAGUUGUGGAGAUUCCUCGCAAACGGGAUAAGAAAAGAAAAGCAAAACACCGUGGUAUUCAAGUUGAUCAUUAGAUCACUUGAGAGGAGUUGAGUGCAACUCUCGUCCGUUGGGACGCCACAACGUGGAGUAGGCAAGCGUUGGUCUUGGCCGAACCACGGGAUAAACCAUUGUGCCAUCUCUGUGAUUGUUCUCUUGUGGUUAUUGUGUUUUGCUAAGACUUCUCUCUAGCCACUUGGUGAUUAUUGUGCUAACACUUCACCAAGUUUUGUGGAUCAAGUUUUAAGUUUUACAGGAUCACCUAUUCACCCCCCUCUAGGUGCUCUCAGAACCCUUCGGGGGCCAGCCUUCGAACCCCUGAUCAGUAGUGGGCGCGGAGCCCGAGUAGCCUGAGGCGGCCGUUGAACCCUUCCGAGGGGACGGCCUUCGAACCUCUGACCAGUAGUGGGUGUGGAGCCCACGUGCUCUGAGGCGGCUAUUGAACCCUUCCGAGAGGCCAGCCUUCGAACCCCUGAUCAGUAGGGAGGCUCGGAGCCUGGUUCCUUCACGGGGAAGGAUCCUUUUCGGGGUAUCCCCCUUUCCCGGUCCCUGUUGCAAGAGAGAGAAAGAGGAAAAAAGGAAAAGCAUACGAAAUUGAACGACGCGACGUACCUUUUCUGACGCGGUCAUUAUGGCGAAGGCGAAGCGUCGCCCGCUUCUCCUGCCAGAGGCGCCGCCUGUCCCGCCGCGGAGUUAAUGCGACGGGGCGAGUGGUUCGCGGGGCGGCUGUUGCGCGUGCGCGAGCUGUUCGAGGAAUGGAACACGGGCGUGUUGUUUUCACGCCGUGAGAGAGGGUUCUCUCGUCGCCCCUGGAUGGGACGUAGGCUCAGCUGACGACGUGACCGCUGCUCCUGCCCGCCUACCACCGUCAUUACUGCCGGCCCAUUUUUGGCCGUAUUGACCGUCGCGCCAGGCUGGCGCUGCUAGGUCGUGCACUGGGUCGCCUCGAGUCGCGGUAUUGGUUCCGUAGUCGAGGAGGCGCGGUGGUGGCGCAGGUGGCGGUGCGGCUGCAUGCACGAAGCAUUCGGCGCGCCAGUUGCAUGACGCGUGGGCCUGGGCCUCCAUGCCGGGCGUGUUGGGAGUCGGAGAAGUGCGCCCACUUGGCGCGGUUGCAUGCUGCCUGCAUGGCUGCCCGCCCUUUCGCCUGCUGGUCUGGGCCAAAGUGGAGGGCCGCUUGUAACCGCUGGGCGGUUGUACGCACCGCGCACGGCGGUUUGGCUUCUUCUGCUCUGAGCCGGCUUGCAUGACGUGUGGGACCCAGCCCCCGCGCCGUAGGGGAGGACCUUGGAGUGUGUUGGAGAAGACUCAGCCCACGACGGCUGGGGACGCAAGUAGGGAGAGUCGCCUUUAAAAGGAGGGUGACCCCCUUUGGAAGGCGACCAUGUCUUCGCGCUCCCUUAUGCAUCGUGUCUUUCCACCUUUCAAGCCCCCGGAUGGGGGAUACCCGCCGUCUUUCCGCCUCGUCGUUGGAGGAACGCAACUCCGUGGGAGUUGGUACCUUUCAGCCAUCGUUCGGCUUCAAGGAUUUUCAUCAUGCAGCCCGGUUGCACCCCUCCACCGGCGGUCACCCAAGAUGGUGACCUCCAGUUCGACGGCGGGGGAAAGCAAACUGGGCCGCGGCCUCUGCCCCUCCCUCAGCCUCAAGGAUUUUCAUCACCAGAGCUGGGGAGGGGAGUGUGUCGAGUCGGGGUCGGCCCCUAUGUGGGCGGCGGCCCGCUCCUUCCCUCAGUGAUUGGGGGGAAGGGCGGUUGUUGUCCGUGGCGCUGUCAGCUGCCGCGUGCCUAGCUCUCGGACGCGAGUGGCUUCGGAGCCGCUCUCGGCGCCGGCUCCUGCCACGGCAGCUGGAAGAGGUUCUUCCGCCGACGAGAUAGCCAGGGCCGCCCACGGACCGACCUCCAACUCUACGGCCUUCUGCCCGUCCUUGCCUCACGAGUUUGGGCAUGGGCGGGGGCCUCCUGGCAGCAGCAUCCGCCCUAAGGUCAUCGCUGCCGCUGUUUGGCCCCCCGGAGCAGAAGUCGUCGUCGUCGCCGCUGCCGGAGCGGGCGACGGCGUGCCGUUCGUUGGUCUUCUGUUGCUCCGCAGGCCCCCCCAUCGAGUGGGGUUGUUCGUACCUGCGGAGGUGGAACCGGAGUUCCGUUUGUAAUGGCACUUUGAAUGCCAGUGUUUUUGUUCAUUGUGGCUGUCGAGGCCCGAACAUGUAUGUAAUUUCGGCACGGAGCCGUGUUUUUUCCUCAUUUUCGAGCACUAAGACUCGCCUGUUGGUUGUCUGAACCGCUUUACCAAGCGUGAGUCGCCCCGUGUAAAGGUGACGAGUGAGGUAUCCGUAUCCCGGAGGCGUAGGAGUCCCUCGGCUCGGUCAGCCUUAUUGUCCGAGGCUUCCCUUGCUUAGUUAGAGGAACCCCUCGGCCGCUCUUCAAUGAGCCGAGGCCAGGGGUAGCGGUGUCAGCGCGAACAAAGGCAGAGUUGGCUCGAAAAGAAGAUCUGGUCGGCCGGAGCCUGGCCGGGUCGUCUGUUGGCGGGAUCGACGCCGGAAAUGAACUGCCAAGGCCUCGGGGCGGGCUGAUGUCCUCGGAGGACAGCUGGCCGAGGCCCCGGGGUGAUCGACCGAGCCGCCUGCUCGGGCCGGAUUCUCGGAGAAGACCCUGGCGACGGUGGCCCAGGCUUGGUGAUGACGUCGUCCUUCAGAGUGGAGAUCUUCGGACUGCGUCGCCGUCCGAGGCUAGGUCGGACCUCGCCGAAGGUGUUGUCGAUGCCGAGGGUGCUGCUGCUCCCUUCAAGCGUCAGGAUCCGAGCCUGCAGGAUCAGAUUGUCUUGUAGCGUGUGUUUCCUGUGGCCGCUGAGGCCAAAACACACCCUCGCCGUGUUGUAAAGCUGCGUCUCUUUUCCUCUUGUUUCGAGUACCCGAACUUUUUUGUCGGUAACAGAAUUGUUUGUGCGAGCGAGAGUUGCUUCUCACGGAAGGUGAUGAGUGAGGUAUCUGUAUCCCGGAGGCGUAGGAGUCCCUCGGCUCGGUCGACCUUGCCGCUUAUGCGCACUCCUACCCGUCCAUGGGGUUCUGUCACCGACGCAGUUGAGGAGGCUCGAAGAAUCGCUCCGGCAGAAGAGCUUCCGAGCGUGUAGACUUGUUCGGUCCGCGGAAUCACUUAUCCGAACGUGAGUUACUUAUCGCAGAAGGUGAUGAGUGAGGUAUCCGUAUCCCGGAGGCAUAGGAGUCCCUCGGCUCGGUCAGCCUUGGCUGCUUACGUGUACUCCGUCGUUUUCAGGAUCCACUUUCGAAGUAGUCAAAAAGCACGAAAGACAUUCUGGCAGAAAAGAUUUUUUUGGAGGAAAAUUUCGACGCAGAGGGGUUCCCCCCUUUUAGCCUCCGAGGGGGGGUCGGGCUUUGCCGAGGCAAGGCUGACCCUUCCUUGAUGACUAAACUUUGCGUGGGAGCGAGGUAUAUGAACAACUUGAAAACAUCUUAAGGGUAGAAGCGACGUAGUUGUUGGAUGUUCCAAGCGUUGUUGUAGACCUCGCCUUGACUAUUGGCCAGCUUGUACGUUCUGGGCUUCAGAACUUUGGCGAUGACAAACAGCCCCUCCCAGGGGGGCGUGAGCUUGUGCCACCCUCGGGCGUCUUGUCACAGCCGAAGCACCAGGUCGCCCACCUGGAGGUCUCGGGACCGGACCCCUCGGGCGUGGUAGCGUCGCAGGGACUGCUGGUACCGCGCCGAGUGUAGUAAGGCCUUGUCCCGAGCCUCUUCCAGCUGGUCCAGCGAGUCUUCUCGACUAGCUUGGUUGCUUUGGCUGGCAUAGGCCCUUGUCCUCGGGGAGCCGUAUUCCAGGUCUGUGGGCAAGACGGCCUCGGCCCCAUAGACUAGAAAGAACGGCGUGAAGCCCGUGGCUCGGCUCGGCAUUGUCCUCAGGCUCCAAACCACCGAGGGGAGUUCCUUCAUCCAUCGCUUGCCGAACUUGUUGAGGUCGUUGUAGAUCCGAGGCUUGAGCCCUUGUAGAAUCAUGCCGUUGGCACGCUCUACUUGCCCAUUUGACAUGGGGUGAGCUACGGCGGCCCAGUCCACCCGGAUGUGGUGAUCCUCGCAGAAGGCCAGGAACUUUCUGCCGGUGAACUGGGUGCCGUUGUCGGUGAUGAUGGAGUUCGGGACCCCGAAACGAUGGAUGAUGUUGGUGAAGAACGCCACCGCCUGCUCGGACCUGAUGCUGUUUAGGGGUCGGACCUCGAUCCACUUGGAGAAUUUGUCGAUGGCGACCAACAGGUGCGAGUAGCCCCCGGGUGCCUUCUGCAAGGGGCCGACGAGGUCCAGACCCCACAUAGCAAAAGGCCAGGUGAUGGGUAUCGUCUGCAGAGCCUAAGCGGGCAGGUGGGCCUGCCUUGCGUAGAACUGACACCCUUCGCAGGCGCGGACAAUUCUGGUGGCGUCGGCCACCGCCGUGGGCCAGUAGAAGCCUUGUUGGAAGGCAUUCCCGACAAGGGCUCGAGGCGCUGCGUGAUGGCCGCAAGCCCCCGAGUGUAUCUCUCGCAGGAGUUCCUGACCUUCGGCGAUGGAGAUGCAUCGCUGGAGGAUGCCGGAGGGGCUGCGGUGGUAGAGCUCCUUCUCAUCUCCCAGCAUGACGAACGACUUGGCGCGCCGCGCCACCCGCCGAGCUUCGGCUCGGUCGGAGGGUAGCUCUCCUCGGUGGAGAUAUUGCAGGUACGGGGUCUGCCAGUUUUGAUCAGGCGUGACCCCGUUUUGCUCCCCCUCGACGCGCAGCGCCUCGCCCUCGGGGGCCGAGGGUACCUCGGGCCGAACCGAGGGUGCCUCGGGCCGAGCCGAGGGUGCCCCGGAUUGUGCCGAGGGCGCCUCAGGCUCGGGCGUGUCGUCGAUCUUGACGGAGGGUUGAUGCAGAUCUCGGGAGAAGACGUUCGGGGGAACUGCUGUUCGCCCCGAGGCUAUUUUAGCCAGCUCGUCCGCAGUCUCGUUGUAGCGCCGAGCGAUGUGGUUGAGCUCGAGCCCGUAGAACUUGUCUUCCAGGCGCCAAACCUCAUCGCAAUAGGCCUCCAUCUUCGGGUCGCGACAGUGGGAGUUCUUCAUGACUUGGUCGAUGACGAGCUGCGAGUCACCGCGAGCGUCGAGGCGUCGGACCCCUAGCUCGAUGGCGAUUCGCAACCCGUUGACCAGAGCCUCAUACUCGACCACAUUGUUGGACGCCGGGAAAUGGAGGCGUAGCACAUAGCGUAUGUGCUUGGCGAGGGGCGAGAUGAAGAGUAGGCCUGCGUUGGCUCCUGUCUUCAUCAACGACCCGUCGAAGAACAUGGUCCAGAGCUCCGGUUGGAUCGGAGCCGUUGGUAGCUGGGUGUCGACCCAUUCGGCCACGAAGUCUGCCAGGACCUGGGACUUGAUGGCCUUCCGAGGGGCGAACGAGAUUGCUUCGCCCAUGAUUUCCACCACCCACUUUGCGAUUCUACCCGAGGCCUCUCGGCACUGGAUGAUCUCCCCCAGGGGGAAGGACGACACCACAGUUACCGGAUGAGACUCAAAGUAGUGUCGCAGCUUCCGCCGCGUUAGGAUCACCGCGUACAGCAGCUUCUGAACUUGUGGGUAGCGGAUCUUGGUUUCAGACAGUACCUCGCUGAUGAAGUAGACUGGCCUUUGAACGGGCAAUGCAUGCCCCUCUUCUUGCCUCUCGACCAUGAUCGCGGCGCUAACCACCUGAGUGGUCGCGGCGACGUAGACCAAGAGGGCUUCUCCGACAGCUGGGGGCACCAAGAUAGGCGCCUUCGUGAGGAGCGCCUUCAGGUUCCCGAGGGCUUCCUCGGCCUCAGGGGUCCAAGUGAAGCACUCGGCCUUCCUUAAAAGGCGGUACAGAGGUAGACCUCUUUCGCCGAGGCAUGAGAUGAAGCGGCUCAGAGCCGCGAGACAUCCCAUGACCCUCUGUACGCCUUUCAAGUCCUUGAUGGGCCCCAUGCCGGUGAUGGCUGCGAUCUUCUCCGGGUUGGCUUCGAUGCCCCGCUCGGAGACGAUGAACCCCAAGAGUAUGCCUCGAGGCACCCCGAAGACACACUUUUCGGGAUUGAGCUUGACGCCUUUCGCCUUGAGACAUCGGAAUGUCACUUCAAGGUCGGAAAGGAGGUCGAAGGCUUUCCUCGUCUUGACUAUGAUGUCAUCGACGUAGGCCUCGACCGUGCGGCCAAUGUGUUCGCCGAACACAUGGUUCAUGCACCGCUGGUACGUCGCGCCCGCAUGCCUCAAGCCGAACGACAUGGUGACAUAGCAGUACAUGCCGAAGGGUGUGAUGAAAGAAGUCGCGAGCUGGUCGGACUCUUUCAUCCUGAUUUGGUGAUACCCUGAGUAGGCAUCGAGGAAAGACAGGGUUUCGCACCCAGCAGUGGAAUCCACGAUUUGGUCGAUGCGAGGCAGAGGGUAGGGAACCUUCGGACAUGCUUUGUUCAGACCAGUGUAGUCUACACACAUCCACAUUUCCCCCCUUUCUUUCUCACAAGCACAGGGUUGGCAAGCCAUUCGGGAUGGAAUACCUCUUUGAUGAACCCUGCCGCCAUUAGCUUGUGGAUCUCCUCGCCUAUGGCUCUGCGCUUCUCCUCGUCGAAUCGGCGCAGAGGCUGCUUGACGGGUCGGGCUCCGGCUCGGAUCUCUAGCGAGUGCUCGGCGACAUCCCUCGGUAUGUCGGGCAUGUCCGAGGGACUCCACGCGAAGACGUCGGCGUUCACGCGGAGAAAGUCGACGAGCACUGCUUCCUAUUUGGGAUCGAGGCCGGAGCCGAUCCGGAUCUGCUUGGAGGCGUCGCCGCUGAGGUCAAGGGGGACGGCCUUAACCGUCUCCGCUGGCUCAAAGUUGCCGGCAUGACGCUUCACGUCUGACACCUCCUUAGAGAGGCUCUCCAGGUCGGCGAUGAGGGUCUCGGACUCGACGAGGGCCUCGACAUAUUCCACGCACUCCACGUCGCAUUCGAAUGCGUGUUUGUACGUGGGGCCGACGGUGAUGACCCCGUUGGGGCCUGGCAUCUUGAGCUUCAGGUAGGUGUAGUUGGGGACGACCAUGAACUUCGUGUAGCAUGGUCUUCCCAGUACCGCGUGGUAGGUUCCUCGAAACCCGACCACCUCGAACGUCACGGUCUCCCUUCGGAAGUUGGAGGGUGUUCCGAAGCAGACGGGAAGGUCGAGUUGUCCGAGGGGCUGGACGCGCUUCUCGGGAAUGAUCCCAUGGAAGGGCGCAGCGCCUGCCCGGACGGAGGACCGAUCGACACGCAGGAGCCCGAGGGUCUCGGCGUAGAUGAUGUUGAGGCUGCUGCCUCCGUCCAUGAGGACCUUGGUGAGCCUGACGUCGCCGAUGACGGGGUCGACGAUGAGCGGGUAUUUCCCCAGGCUCGGCACAUGGUCGGGGUGGUCGGCUUGGUCGAAGGUGAUGGGCUUGUCGGACCAGUCUAGGUAGACUGGCGGCGCCACCUUCACCGAACAGACCUCCCGGCGCUCUUGCUUGCGGUGCCGAGCCGAGGCAUUCGCCGCUUGCCUACCGUAGAUCAUGAAGCAGUCGCGGACCUCGGGGAACUCUCCUGCCUGGUGAUCUUCCUUCUUAUCGGCGUCGUGGGCCCUGCCACCCUCCGCGGGUAGCCCGGCCCUGUGGAAGUGGCGCCGAAGCAUGACACACUCCUCAAGGGUGUGCUUGACGGGCCCCUGGUGAUAGGGGCACGGCUCCUUGAGCAUCUUGUCGAAGAGGUUGGCACCUCCGGGGGGUUUCCGAGGGUUCUUGUACUCGGCGGCAGCGACAAGGUCUGCGUCGGCGGCGUCGCGUUUCGCUUGCGACUUCUUCUUGCCCUUCUUCUUGGCGCCGCGCUGAGUUGACGCCUCGGGGGCAUCUUCCGAUGGGGCGGCCCUGGGGCUGCUUGUCCUUCCGGAAGAUAGCCUCGACCGCCUCCUGGCUGGAGGCGAACUUGGUGGCGAUGUCCAUCAGCUCGCUCGCCCUGGUGGGGGUCUUGCGACCCAGCUUGCCCACCAGUUAGCGGCAGGUGGUGCCAGCGAGGAACGCGCCGAUGACAUCCGAGUCGGUGAUGUUGGGCAGCUCGGUGCGCUGCUUCGAGAAUCGCCGGAUGUAGUCCCGGAGAGACUCUCUCGGCUGAUGUCGGCAGCUUCGGAGGUCCCAGGAAUUUCCGGGGCGCACGUACGUGCCCUGGAAAUUGCCGACGAAAGCUUGGACUAGGUCGUCCCAGUUGGAGAUCUACCCCAGAGGCAGGUGCUCCAACCAGGCGCGAGCGGUGUCGGAGAGAAACAGGGGGAGGUUACGGAUGAUGAGGUUGUCAUCGUCCGUUCCACCCAGUUGGCAGGCCAGACGGUAGUCCGCGAGCCACAGUUCCGGUCUCGUCUCCCCCGAGUACUUUGUGAUAGUAGUCGGGGGUCGGAACCGGGUCGGGAACGGCGCCCAUCGUAUGGCCCGGCUGAAGGCCUGCGGACCGGGUGGUUCGGGCGAGGGGCUCCGAUCCUCUCCGCUGUCAUAGCGUCCCCCACGCCUAGGGUGGUAGCCUCGGCGCACCCUCUCGUCGAGGUGGGCUCGACGGUCGCGGUGAUGGUGCUCGUUGCCGAGGCGACCCGGGGCCGCAGGCGCUGUGUUGCGCGUGCGCCCGGUGUAGACCGAGGCUUCCCGCAUGAAUCGGGAAGUCGCGGCAUGAGGUUCCGAGGGGUACCCCUGCCUUCGGGAGGCGGAGCUCUCGGCCCGUCGGAUCGCGGCGCCUUCCAGGAGAUUCUUGAGCUCUCCCUGGAUUCGCCGCCCCUCGGUGGUUGAUGGCUCCGGCAUCGCGCGGAGGAGCAUUGCUGCUGCAGCCAGGUUCUGGCCGACCCCACUAGAUGCGGGUGGCGGCCUGAACCUGACGUCGUCGGCGACGCGGUGCUGAAAGCCCUGAGGUAGAUGACGUAUUUCUCCAGCGGGAGGUUGGGCCACCCGUGCCUGCCCGACGUCCCGGCGGAUCGGCUCAAGCGCUCCUACUCCCUCGUCGAGCCUGGCCUGCACCCCGCGGAUUUGCUCAAGCUGUGGGUCAUGGCCCCCCGCCUGAACGGGGACCACAGCUAGCUCCCGUGGGAUGUCAACGCGAGGCACCGGCCUAGGGAGAUCACCGUCCUCCGGCAUGCCGAGAUGGUUGCCUUCGGAGGGACCCCCUAGAUCGACGUGGAAACAUUCACGGCUUGGGCCGCAGUCCUCGUCGCCGAGGCUACGACUACCGUCGGAACAGUCGGAAAGGCAAUAGUCGCAUGCGGUCAUGAAGUCCCGCAUGGCACUGGGGUUGCCAAGUCCAGAGAAAUCCCAACAGAAGCUGGGCUCGUCGUCUUCCUCGGACCCAGAGGGCCCGUAGGUCGAGACGUCCGUCAGCCGGUCCCAAGGUGACCGCAUACGAAACCCCAGAGGGUUUGGACUCGCCUCUACGAGAGCACCCGCCAAAGCGAAGUCGCUAGGCGGGUUGAGGCUGAAUCCGAAAGACGUGGGAUGGGAAUCAGUCAGUACCUCUUGGUCGACGAGCGGUGAUGAAGUCACGUCGGGGACUGUCUGCACCGUCGUUUCAGGUACGAGGGUGACACCCAGCAAGCCUUCCGCGAGCGUGCUGGCGUCGUCCGUUUGCUCGGGAUUGGCAUGUUGCGGGGAGACGGCGCUCGUCUUCGUCUCAAGCGCGAGGUCGAUGCCCGGUGCGCCCCCCGUUGGGGUGCUGGCGCUAUUGACUCGCUCGAUAGCCGACGAGGCGCUGCCUCCUGCUUGGCCUUGGUUGCCCCGCCUUCCCCUCCGUCGAUGGGGAAGAGGGCGGGAUGAGCUCGAAGGUUGUUCUUCCACCACGCGGGGAAGACGUCGUCGAUUCCGCCGCCGGCGGGCGGGCUGUCGGCCGUCAUUGUCGCUGUCGCCCGGCGGUGGAAUAAGUAUCAUGUCGUAGCUGCCGUCGAGGGACAUGAACUCAAGACUCCCGAAACGGAGCAUCGUCCCGGGUUGGGGAGGUUGCUGGAGACUGCCCAUCUGGAGCUUGACGGGAAGCUGUUAGUCAACACGCAGCAGGCCCCUACCUGGCGCGCCAACUGUCUGCGUUUCGAGACCGGGGGGUCCCUAAGCCGACGAGUGAAUGUCGCCGCGUGCCCCAGCCCAGAUGGGUCGACGCGAGGCCGAGCGUGAAGGGGGGAAGUGAGGUGGCCAGAGAUGGGCGUGAGAGAGGUGGAAAUCCCGCGGCCUUCGUGUUCGUCCCGCGCCCAGGUCGGGUGCGCUUGCAGUAGGGGGUUACAAGCGUCCACGCGGGAGAGGGAGCGAGCGGCUCCAAGCGAGCGCCUAUCUCGUCCCCGCGCAGCCAACCCUCUCUAAGAGGGCCCUGGUCCUUCCUUUUAUAGGCGUAAGGAGAGGAUCCAGGUGUACAAUGGGGGGUAUAGCAGAGUGCUACGUGUCUAGCAGAGGAGAGCUAGCGCCCUAAGUACAUGCCGUCGUGGCAGCCGGAGAGAUUUUGGCACCCAGCUGGUGUGAUGUCGUGGCCGUCGGAGGAGUGCUGGAGCCUGGCGGAGGGACAGCUGUCGGAGCUGUUGAGUCCUUGCUGACGUCCUCUUGCUUCCGUAAGGGGGCUGAGAGCCGCCGUCGUCACAGAGUAUGUGGGGCGCCAUCGUUGCCUAUCUGGCGGAGCGAGCCAGAUGGGACGCCAGUCUUGAUCCCCGUGGCCCGAGUCAGCUCGGGGUAGGGUGAUGAUGACGCCUCCUGUUGACGUGGCUGGUCUACGCCCUAGGUUGGGCGAUGUGGAAGCUCCUCCGAAGCCGAGAUCGAGUCUGUCUUUCAUGGUCGAGGUCGAGUCCGAGCCCCUGGUUCGGGCGAGGCGGAGACCGUCGGCUGAGGCCAGGGCGGAGUCCGAGCCCUGGGGUUGGGCGGAGCGGAGUUCGUCGUCUUCUGGGGCUGAGCCCAAGUCCGAGCCCUGGGUCGGGCGGAGCGGAGUUCGUCGUCUUCCGGGGCUGAGCCCGAGUCCGAGCCCUGGGUCGGGCGGAGCGGAGUUCGUCGUCUUCCAGGGCUGAGCCCGAGUCCGAGCCCUGGAUCGGGUGGAGCGGAGUUCGCCGUCUUCCGGGGCUUAGCCCAAGUCCGAGCCCUGGGUCGGGCGGAGCGGAGUUCGCCGUCUUCCGGGGCUUAGCCCGAGUCCGAGCCCUGGGUCGGGCGAAGCGGAGCUUCCUAUGGUGCCUGCGGCCGGGCCUGACUGCCUGUCAGCCUCACUCUGUCAAGUGGCACUGCAGUCGGAGCGGCGCAGGCGACGCUGCCUUUCUGUCAGACCGGCCAGUGGAGCGGCGAAGUGACGGCGGUCACUUCGGCUCUGUCGGCUGGGGGGCGCGCGUCAGGAUAAAGGUGUCAGGCCACCUUUGCAUUAAAUGCUCCUGCGAUUUGGUCGGUCGGUGCGGCGAUUUGGUCAGGGUUGCUUCUUGGCGAAGACAGGGCCUCGGGCGAGCCGGAAAUAUGUUCGCCGCUGGAGGGGGCCUCGGGCGAGACGGAGAUCCUCCGGGGUCGGCUGCCCUUGUCCGAGGCUAGGCUCGGGCGAGGCGUGAUCGAGUCCCUCGUAUGAACUGAUCCCUGACUUAAUCGCACCCAUCAGGUCUUUGCAGCUUUAUGCUGAUGGGGGUUACCAGCUGAGAAUUAGGAGCCUUGAGGGUACCCCUAAUUAUGGUCCCCGACACUAGUGUUGUAUUGUUUGUGCUUGUGCUAAGAUGAUCUCUUUUGCACUUGUAAUAGGGGCUCAUUCAAGUACUCUACUGAUCGAAAAUGGUUGGCGUCUGUGAUGGUUCAUUCUUUUGCACGUCUUCUACACUGGUACAUUGACGGCUGAUGGAGAUGGAUGGUGGUGUAGCUGUUUUGUUUAGCACUCUAGGUGUUGGACCACUGUUUUGUUAAUGGAUGCUAUGUAACAGUAGUAUAAAACUAAUGUAAACUUGUUUAGGUUGCUGUGAAACCACAUUGUUAUGGGGUUGUUACAUAGCUGAUAUGUUUUGAACAUGAUAUGGAGAUCUCUUUGCCUUCUUGUUUUGGGUGUUACUGUUGUGCCAUUCGUCUCACAAGUUAUGCUAUUUUAUUAUUUGCUUUUGGAUUGAUAUAUAUUCGUCUCUGAAGCCUUCCUUCACUACAAUAUGUCUCUGUCAUCAACGCAUCCACUGGCUAUAGAUGUCCAAACAGUGCGGGCCGCCCGUUUGGCCCGUGGCACGACACGAAUUUAGCCCGGUCCAAACAUGGCCCGGCACGGCCCGUUUAGCGGGCCGGGUAUGGACAGAUACGGCGGCCCGCGUGCUUUGGCCCGGCCCGACCCGAUAAAUGGGUUGGCCCGUCGGCGGCCCGCAUAUUUAUGUAAAUACUAAAUAUGUAAAUACAUUUAAUUCUCUCAUAGUAUGUAAAUACUAAAUACACGGCCAAACAUUUAUAAAAUGCAUACAUAAAUAUUUUGUUGUCUUAAUAUAUAUAAAUAAUAUGUUAUUAUAUAUGAUUAAUUCGGUUAAAUAUAUGUAUUUAUAUACCGUUCUACUGUUGGUUCGGGCCAGUGUCUGGCCCGGUCCGUUGAGGCCCACCGGGCCAAUGGGCCGGCCCGGCACGAUUUUUCCCUGUGCGUGCCGGGUUUGGGCAUGUCCCUAGACACGUGGGCCAGCCCGAUCCGGCCCGAAGCAUCAACGGGCCGUGCCUGGCCCGACCCUAUUCGUACCGGGCCGAAACGGGUUCGGGUCAGGUCCGUACCGGGUGGCCCGUUUGGACAUCUAUACCACUGGCUAAGACACGAAGCCCUGGAUAGCUUCUUUUAUGGCCGUGUCCACGCUUCCGCAUCUCAUAUUUUUUCUCAUCAAAAGAUGCAUCGACGUUCACCAUCACUUUUCCCUCAGGAGGUUUCUAUCAUCCGUGCUAUAUUUUUGUUUCUUCGUUCCUUGUUUGUUGCUAGCUUCAGGGACGGAUCCAGCGGUGGGGCGGGCGGGGCUCGAGCACCUCUACCGCUUCUGAUCCCAUGGAGCCCCACUACAGCCUCCCCUAAUCUAAAAUAUAUACAAUAUAAUGUAGAAUGGGAUUUUAUACUGCAGCAAUUUAGUUCAGUCCCUCCUAAACUUUUUUCUGCUCCGUCCCUGGCUAGCUUGGAGUAAUUUCUUUGUAAAGCUGGAGCUCCCCAGCAAUGUCCUUAAUAUUAACGGCCUCUUUAAUCUGAAAACGGAAAAAUAAAGAAGAGAGAAAUGGGAGAAGAAGAAAAAAGGAUGGAGAGCAAGUGGGUCCUGUGGCAGGAGGAACAUGGAGCACAGAAAAGAGUAGUAAUAUAAUGUGAUGGAACGGCCGGAAUUGAGAUGGGUGGAACGGUUUCCCUCCACAACCACUUGCUCCUCAUCUACUUUUCUCCUCCGCCUUAAACUCAUCCUUGCUCCUGCCUGCCGUCGUGCAUCAUCAUCUCCGGCCAGGGCCAGGGCAUUCGUCUCCGCCUCCGGUCCGGCCUCCUCCACUCCGCGCCCCCCCAGACGCGUCGCUGCGUAGCUGCUGGCCGCCAUGGCCACCGUCAUGGCCGCGGCCGUCUAGUCCUUCCCGUCCUCCUCGGCCGUCGUCGCCAAGGCGUCGCCGGCGUCCCCCUGUGCCGCCCCGCACUUCCGCCCGAGGGCCGUGCGGGCCGCUAUCCGGGCGCAGGCGUCCGCCGUCGAGGCGCCCGCCACGGCCAAGGCCAAGAAGGAGUCCAAGAAGCAGGAGGAGGGCGUCGUCACCAACCUAUACAAGCCCAAGGAGCCGUACGUCGGCAGGUGCCUCCUCAACACCAAGAUCACCGGCGACGACGCGCCGGGGGAGACGUGGCACAUGGUCUUCAGCACCGAAGGUAGGUACUGAGGUUAAAAAAAAAUCUGAUUUUUGCUGCCUCGUUCGUUCGUCGUUCAAUUGCUGUAUUCGUAUCGUAUGUAUAUACGCUGAUGGACGCACGUACGCAGGCCCUUCUUUGCCUGCGCGAGGUCUCAGAAUCCGGGGGGAAAAAGAAAAGAAAAGAAAAGAUGAUGACUGUCUCUACCUCUUGCUACAUGUGCCGCUUCCUCGUCCGGGCUCCUCCGCUCAAGUCCAGGAGUGCAGUGCGCUGUCCAAGCGCCGCCCCACCAGGUGCUAGCGGUGCCACCUCCACCUCCAAGGUAAACCCACACCUACUACCUGUGUGCUUCGUAAGGCCUAUCUACACCUGCAGGCUGCAGCCACCAGCACAGGGAUAUGUACCAGCCUGCUCGUUUCAGCUGGAACAGUAUUCUCCAGUUUUGGAUUGGAACAUGCAGCCACAGCCAAAAGUAGCUGAAGCGAUUGGAGUUGUAGCUUUUCGGGGAUAAUCAAAUGAUAGGAGAGUGGAGGUGGUGGAUCAUGUGUAAGCUUUAGACUACUGACUGAUUCACUUGUCUAUCCGGCGCUGGUUGCUUUCCCUGUGUGAAGCUUGUCCUAGAGGUGAAAGAACGGCUAGCAAGGGAGCACCCAGGCCUCCCCACGGGCAGGUACGGGAGGGACGAUGACGACAUGGUCCUCUGGUUCCUAAAGGACCGCAAGUUCUCCGUCGAUGAAGCCGUCUCCAAGCUCACCAAGGCGAUUGUAUCCUCUAAUUCACUCGCUUGUAGCAGUGAAGCUCACACCUAAUAGCUUCUUUACUGGCUCACUAAAUUCCUGGUAUGGUAACCGAGUUCAUAUAGCACUGCUAUCUUCAGUUUUCCUUUCAACUGCAUUAGAAAUGGCGUCAGGACUUUGGUGUUGCAGAGUUAUCAGAGGAAUCAGUGAAAAGCCUGUACCAAACUGGCAAGGCAUAUGUACAUGAUUCCUUGGACAUUUAUGGCCGACCUGUGCUGAUUGUAGUGGCAGCCAAACAUUUUCCUUCGGUGCGUUCCGUUUGUUUCCCAAUCUUGAUUUGGAAAUGCUCAACAGGAUAGUGGCUACACACUGUUUCCAGUUUUUUAGAAUAGCACACAUAACAAAGGCUGACAGUAUGCAGUGGAAAGUAUCAGUACUUCACACCUCAUAGCAGCUCUAAAAUUAAACUACAUGGCUUGGCUAGCUGACCUGUAACCUAUGGAUGUCUUAGUAUUCAACAUGCAUUUGUUCUUCAUAAUAAUGAUGAUCCAUGUAUAAUAUGCUACUGCAGACACAGGAUCCAGUUGAAAACCAGAAGCUAUGUGCCUAUUUGGUUGAGAAGGCAGUCAACAGACUUCCGCCAGGAGCAGAGAAUAUACUUGGGAUCUUUGAUCUGCGAGGCUUUCGGGUUGAAAAUGGUGAUCUCCAGUUCCUAAAGUUUUUGGUGAGUUUGGUAGCUUCAAGGCAUGACUAAGCAUCUCUGAUUACCUUUUUUUCGGUGGUAGACAUGCAUAUUUUUAUUUGUGACGAUAUGAAUGAAACAUUGUGUUUAUUUGUGACGAUAUGAAUGAAACAUUGCGGCCGUGGCGGCUGUGGUUCCGGCGGGAACUGCCGAUCUGGAGGACUCCAACCCGCCACCGCCAAUCCCCCCGUCGAUGGUUGUCGAUCCGCCGCCUCCUCCACCGCUCACCCACCAGGAAGACACUGUCGCCGCCCUCACCGCUGCUCGUGCAGAGCACGCUGCUCGACAGGCCCGCUUGCGGGAAGCGGCCCUCGCGUGGGAGCGCGCGCGCGCGGCCGCCGAUGCUAUCGCUGCUCAAAUUGCCGCGGCGGAACAGCACCUCGCUUCGCCUGCGGCCCACGACGGCGGGGCCACCUCCGCUAACACCAUAGGCGGCGUGUACGGCGUCCCGACCGUACCGACAGUCGGGACCGGGCCCCGGACCAUCCCCGAGGUGCUCUGGCAUGACCCGGCUGACCCGCUCGUGGCUCAGCUCCACCUACAGGCUGGGAGUGUCCAGAACAUUCGCCUGAUGGUUCCGGUCGUCCUGGAGUCAGAGUCGCCAUCCUACACGCGUUGGCGGGACUUGCUUCUUCUCACUCUUCGUCGCUACGCCCUGGAUGACCACGUCCUCUGCGACCCCAUCGGUGUGGCGCCGACUGCUGCGUGGGUGCGCCUCGACAGCAUCGUGCUCACCUGGAUCGUGGGGACGAUCUCCGUCGACCUCCACAGCCUCCUCCGGAACCUUCCUCAUGCUCGUGCUGUUUGGCUUGCCAUCGAGAGCCAGUUCAUGGGCAACGCCGAGGCCCGGGCUCUCCGCCUCGACGCCGCUUUUCGCACCUUCGUCCAGGGGGACCUCAGUGUCAGUGCAUACUGCCGCCAGAUGAAGACCAUGGCGGACUCACUUGGCGAUCUGGGCUGCCCCGUGGAGGACCGCAUCCUAGUCCUCAACGUCCUCCGCGGCCUCGGCGAUCGCUACACCCACCUCCGGUCAUUGCUCAUGCGCCAGCGCCCCUUUCCUACCUUCCUCCAGGUUCGCGACGACCUCGCCCUGGAGGAGAUCACUCUGGGGGCUCAGGCUGCAUCGAUCUCCGGCCCGGGGUCCUCGUCCUCUUCGACAGCACUUGCGGCUUUCACCCCGACCCGUCCGCCCACUCCGUCACAGUCUGCCCUUGGCCCUCGCCCUCCCGGACCGAGCAUGGGCGGCGGGGGUCGAGGUGGCGGAGGCGGGGGCGGUGGUGGACGUCGCCGCCGUGGUGGCCGCGAUGGUGGUGGUGGUGGUGGUUCCGGUGGUGGUGUCCGUGGCCACGCAUCGACGCCGGGACCCCAGCAGAGUGCGCCCUGGCCCACUUUCCACCACCCGUGGUCAGGGCGCAUCUCCAUGUGGCCGUUCCAGGGGCCUGGCUCUGAGGCUCGGCCUCCGGCGGCCAUGUUCGCUGGUGCGCAGCCAGGGUUCGCUUUCGCCUCUCCGUCGCCCUGGACCUCGACACCUGCCGUUUCGUCGUGGCCCACGCCUCCGGCUUCUCCACCGUCCGGGCUGGUUGGUUGGGACGCGACCGCCCUGGCUGCCUUCCAGACUCCUACUCUGACUCCGCCGAUGGGUCCCGAGUGGAUCGCGGACACCGGUGCUACCUACCACACCACCCCCGACCCUGGUAUACUCACCUCUGUUCGCCCUCCUUCUUCCUCUCUCCCCUCGUCCAUCAUGGUGGCGAAUGGCUCGUGUCUUCCUGUCACAUCUGUGGGUGCCGCCGGCCCUCCCGGCUCUUUUCGCGUUCCCGAUGUUCUUGUCGCUCCUUCUUUGGUCCACAAUCUUCUUUCUAUUCGUCGAUUUACUGCUGAUAAUUCUUGUUCUGUCGAGUUUGACUCUUUUGGUCUUACUGUGAAGGACUCGGCAACUCGACGCCCCCUCCUCAGAUGUGACAGCACCGGCCCCCUCUACACCCUUCGGCUUCCGUACACCACAUCUUCUUCGUCUUCGUCACCUGACACAGCUGCUGUUUUUGCUGCCGCCACGUCUUCUACCACCUGGCAUCGUCGCCUUGGUCACCCCGGACGCGACGCCUUGAUGCAGCUUACUCGUAGUGUCACUAUCCCAUGUACUAGAUCCCAUGAUGAGCAUCUUUGUCAUGCGUGCCAGUUAGGCCGUCAUGUUCGUCUUCCUUUUUCUUCUUCUUCCUCUCAUGCUACUCAUGCAUUUGAUCUUGUACACUGCGAUUUGUGGACUUCACCUAUUACCAGUAUGUCAGGCUACAAAUACUAUCUUGUGGUGCUUGAUGACUUUUCUCAUUAUGUGUGGACUUUUCCUUUGCGUGCCAAGUCUGAGACUUUCCCCGCCCUCCGCCACUUCUUCGCCUGGGUGUCCACUCAGUUCGGCCUCACCAUUAAGGCCGUUCAGUGUGACAAUGGUCGGGAGUUCGAUAACUCCACCUCCCGCGACUUCUUUCUCUCCCACGGGAUGCAAUUGCGGAUGUCUUGCCCGUAUACCUCCUCCCAGAACGGCAAGGCUGAGCGCAUGAUUCGCACGACCAACGACACCAUCCGCACUCUUCUUCUCCAGGCGCACCUUCCGGCUUGUUUCUGGGUCGAGGCCCUCCACACCUCUACCUACCUACUCAACCGUCUCCCUUCCACUGCGUGCCCGGCCCCCACUCCUCACCAGGCACUCUUCGGUACCCCUCCGCGCUAUGACCACCUCCGUGUCUUCGGGUGUGCUUGCUACCCGAACACCGCUGCCACUGCUCCUCACAAACUAGCACCCCGUUCCACCCUCUGUGUGUUUCUCGGGUACUCCCCGGACCACAAAGGCUACCGCUGCUUUGACCUCUGCUCUCGCCGGGUCCUCAUCUCUCGCCAUGUGGUGUUUGAUGAGUCCGUAUUUCCCUACUCCUCCACCACCACACCACCCUCCUCCGACCCUGACCUUGACCUCUUCACUCUCUUUCAGACUGACGCGGUGGUCGAGCCACCUCUCCUUCCUCUCUCUGCAGGUACUCGCUCACCACCUGUCGGUCCUACUCCCGGCCCGGUACCUUGCUCGGGUUCGGUGGUGUCGCGUCUCCGCGGCGCCCCGUCUCCGAUCGCCCCCGGGCCGAGCGAGGGUGGUGGGACUGCACCGCCUCCGGGGCCGUCGGUUACGACCCCUCCGUCCCGCUUCGCCCAGCCGGUGCGGGUCUACCAGCGCCGGCUGCCGCCGCCGGGGUUCGCCCCUCCACCGUCGCCGCCCCUGCCGCUGUCACCGCCGGUGGCCCAGUCCCCGCCAGGGACACCUACACCUCCGCCGCGGCCACCCGCGGCCCGUGUCGAGACGCCGGUGUACCAUCCACCGCUCCUUCAUCGCGACCCGCGGCAUGUCCACCCGAUGGUGACGCGGCACGCGGCCGGUACCCUGCCGCCCCGUGUCUUGGCGGCCACGACCGCCGACUCGCAGGUUUCUCCGGUACCCUCCUCCGUCCGCACCGCCCUGCUGGACCCCCACUGGCGUCAGGCGAUGGAGGAGGAGUACGCGGCGCUCGUCGCCAACCAGACGUGGGAUCUGGUGCCCCGUCCGCCCGGCACCAACGUCGUCACCGGCAAGUGGAUCUGGACACACAAGCGACGGGCCGAUGGUACCCUGGACCGGUACAAGGCUCGCUGGGUUCUUCGGGGCUUCACUCAGCGCCCCGGAGUCGACUACGAUGAGACCUUCAGCCCGGUUGUGAAGCCGGCCACCGUCCGCACGGUGCUCUCGCUGGCCCUCGCUCGCUCCUGGCCAGUUCACCAGCUCGACGUCAAGAACGCCUUCCUGCACGGCGCCCUCACCGAGACCGUCUACUGCUGUCAGCCUGCGGGGUUCGUGGACUCCUCUCGCCCUGACAUGGUCUGCCGGCUCAACAGGUCCCUCUAUGGCCUCAAGCAGGCCCCCCGGGCGUGGCAUUCCAGACUGGCUACCUUCCUGGUGACACUGGGCUUCGUGGAGGCCAAGUCCGACACGUCUUUGUUCGUCCACCAUCAUGGCGCAGAGACUGCCUACUUGCUACUCUACGUGGAUGACAUUGUCCUCACCGCCUCCAGUCCGUCUCUUCUUCGCCGCUUCGUCGACGCGCUUCAGCGGGAGUUUCCGGUCAAAGAUCUGGGCGUGCUUCACCAUUUCCUGGGGGUCAUUGCUGAGCCUCGCCCCUCAGGACUCCUCCUUCACCAGCGACAGUAUACACUUGACAUUCUGGAGCGGGCCCAGAUGAGUGACUGCAAGCCCUGCUCCACCCCUGUCGACACGCAGGCCAAGCUCUCUGCGGCCACGGGUGACCCAGUCGCGGACCCCACCGGCUACAGGAGUCUUGCCGGUGCCCUUCAGUACCUCACCUUCACCAGGCCGGACAUCUCCUACGCCGUGCAGCAGGUCUGCCUCCAUAUGCACGACCCUCGGGAGCCCCACCUUGCGGCGCUCAAGCGCCUCCUCCGUUACCUCCGGGGCACCGUCGACUACGGACUGCUUCUUCACCGGUCUACCUCCUCCGAGCUGGUCGUCUACACUGAUGCUGACUGGGCCGGGUGCCCAGACACUCGGCGCUCCACCUCCGGCUACGCUGUCUUCUUAGGCGGCAACCUUGUGUCCUGGUCGUCGAAGCGCCAGCCGGUCGUUUCCCGCUCCAGUGCAGAGGCGGAGUACCGUGCCGUGGCCAACGGCGUGGCGGAGGCUGCCUGGCUCCGGCAGCUCCUUACCGAGCUUCACAGUCCCCUCUCCAGGAGCUCGGUGGUCUACUGCGACAACGUCAGCGCGGUCUACCUCUCCACCAACCCAGUGCAGCACCAGCGGACCAAGCAUGUCGAGAUCGAUCUACACUUCGUCCGUGAUUAUGUCGCCGCCGGUACUGUUCGGGUCCUCCACGUCCCGACCACCUCCCAGUUUGCCGACAUCUUCACCAAGGGUCUUCCGUCCUCGACCUUCGCCGAGUUUCGCUCCAGCCUCAACAUCAGUAGUGGCUAGUUGAGUCUGUGGGGGGAUCCUAUUGUGUGAUGUACUUCUUUUUGAGUCCAGUCUGUGUACUCCGCUGCGCCGGACGUCCAGACUGCGGGGGGGUGUUAGAGUGUUAGGCCUGUUAAGGCUUGGCCCAUGUGGCCCAUGUAAACACUAUAUAGCUAACCUGUUGGGUUAGCCCUAAACCAUUGAAUAUUCACUCCAAUAGUAAAAAAUUGGUAAUCAUUCAUGUAAGGUAUACAUCUGUUGCAAAAAGUAAUUCCGGCCGAAUAAAACAAGAAACUUUUUCCUGGAUAUGAAAACUCUGUUGAUGCAUGCCAAUUUAAAAAACAAAGGACGGUGCGUGUUCAUGCUCCCAGAAGUCAGAAGGCGAAAAAGUUUAUCUAAUGGAUUAAUUCAAAUCACAUAUGGAGUUCUAAUUCUUGUUCUAUGUUGCAACUAAUAUACAUAUAAACAUGAUUUUUUGGGGUAUAUGCAUUGCAAUUAAUGCCCCCUCCCAUUCCCAGAUGGACGUUUUUUACUAUUACUACCCGAAGCGGCUUGGCCAAGUUCUUUUUGUCGAUGCUCCAUUUGUUUUUCAACCAAUGUGGCAGGUUGUUAAACCUCUAUUGAAAUCAUAUGCCUCCCUGGUAUGCUCUCCCUCUCUCUUAGGUUAGCGCUUCAUCGAACGAUAUGGAACGAUAUGGAUAACCUUACAGUCUACUGCUAUGUUGCCCCUGCUAGGUAAGAUUUUGUGAUGCCGAGACUGUGAGGAAGGAAUACUUCAAAGAAGAAACGGUGCCUCCUGAUUUCCGCGAUUAGGUGACAUGAUUAUUUCUUCAGUAAUUGCAAGGCAGUUCUACCUCUGCCUUUGUGUAACGAUUGAAAUUCUAAAUUGUGCAGAUUAUUUUUAGUUCUUCCAAUCCCUCCUAAAAGCUAUUUUGCAGAAAUGUGCAGGUGGUCUCGGAAACAUGACCUUUAAUUGAUUCAGAAUCGAUUGGCACCCAGGGGGGCUGGCGCCUUCCUAUACCUUUUGAUUAACUUCUCAAAAGUUGCUCAGACGGCAGCAAACGAUUGGAGAGUCCAGUAAAAAAUGACCCUGUACUUGUAUAACUUCUGCGAAGUAGAAUGCUGAGUUUAGGCUGGUGUCUGGAGUGCUCCUGUACCAUAUUUUUCUGGUUUUGGAUGAAGCUAUAUGGACCAAAUUCAUCUCUGUUGAACAAUUGCCAAUUACAUAACUUGUGUUUGCCCAAUUCCAUGGUGUAGUACCAUAACUUCUCAGUGCAGUGCAGACAACACAUGGAUUCCAUUUUUUGAUUAAAGUAUCAUCUGCUACAAAUAUGAAUCAUGGCUUAGUUUGUAGACUUCAUAAAGAAACACACAGAUUAAUCAAACCAGUCUUCGAAGAGUCUCUGUGGAUAGGAACGUUCCAAAGCAAAGUAAGAUGCAAGUUGUAUUGCAUAAAAACCAGGUACACAUCAAUCAGCUGCAUUCUGGAAGACUAAACUGCAACACAACUACAUCUGCAAUCACAGAGAAAUCAGGUAUACGACCAAUUGUUAUCUAUUGUAAAUAUUUUGUUUUUUAGGUCAACAACGGAGAGGGUCAAGCGAUCCCCACGUACAGAUGCCAGCAUGGUCUUUUACAUGGUUCCAAGAGGAGGUAAAUCGAGUGUAGCCCUAAAAAGAUCUGCCUUGUGCCACUUCAACACUUUAACCCAGAUGCAAUAAAAAAACACUUUAACCCAGAUGCUGCAUUGUGGUGUGGCAAAGGCUUGAGAAUAUGACAAUAACAGCUGCUCAAAAACUGUUGGUAGGAACAUUUAUAGCAGCAAAAGAACAAAAUGGAAUGUGUGGUUUCUUAUCUGCCUUAGAUGAGAUAAGAUUUCGGACAUGUGUAUUCAUGUUUUCGAGUGAUUUGGCACUAUGAAUGCGCUAGAUGGUUGGUUGCUUUUUUUUGUUAAUUGCUCAGGUGAUAUAUGCUGUAUUUCUAGUCACUAGUGUUGUAUUGUUUGUGCUUGUGCUAAGAUGAUCUCUUUUGCACUUGUAACAGGGGCUCAUUCAAGUACUCUACUGAUCGAAAAUGGAUGGCGUCUGUGAUGGUUCAUUCUUUUGCACGUCUUCUACACGGGUACAUUGACGGUUGAUGGAGAUGGAUGGUGGUGUAGCUGUUUUGUUUAGCAAUUAGCACUCUAGGUGUUGGACCACUGUUUUGUUAAUGGAUGCUAUGUAACAGUAGUAUGUAACUAAUGUGAACUUGUUUAGGUUGCUGUGAAACUGUUAUACAACACAUUGUUAUGGGGUUGUUACACAGCUGAUAUGUUAUGAACAUGAUAUGGAGAUAUCUUUUCCUUUUUGGUUUGGGUUUUACUGUUGUGCCAUUCGUCUCAUAAGUUAUGCCAUUUUAUUAUUUACUUUUGGAUUGAUAUAUAUUCGUCUCUGAAGCCUUCCUUCACUACAAUAUGUCUCUGUCAUCAACGUAUCCACUGGCUGAGACACGAAGCCGUGGAUAGCUUCCUUUAUGGCCGUGUCCACGCUUCCGCAUCUCAUAUUUUUUCUUAUCAAAAGAUGCAUCGACGUUCACCAUCACUUUUCCCUCAGGAGGUUUCUAUCAUCCGUGCUGUAUUUUUGUUUCUUUGUUCCUUGUUUGUUGCUAGCUUGGAGUAAUUUCUUUGUAGAGCUGGAGCUCCCCAGCAAUGUCCUUAAUAUUAACGGCCUCUUUAAUCUGAAAACGGAAAAAUAAAGAAGAGAGAAACGGGAGAAGAAGAAAGAAAGGAUGGAGAGCAAGUGGGUCCUGUGGCAUGGAGGAACAUGGAGCACAGAAAAGAGUAGUAAUAUAAUGUGAUGGAACGGCCGGAAUUGAGAUGGUGCUCAUAAGAUACGGUGUCGUGGAGGGAAACCGUUCCACCCAUCUCAAUGACACCGUAUCUUAUGAGCAAGGAGCCCUGCUGCUCCCAUGAGCAAAAUCAAUCCAGACCACAUCCUCCACAUCCAACGGUGCUGCGUUAGGGGGGUUUUGUAAAAUGUACAGAGUUGCAAAGAACAUUUUACAAAACCCCCUGAUAUAGCACCGUUGGAUGUGGAGGGUGUGGUCUGGAUUGAUUUUGCUCAUGGGAGCACCAACGCUCUUUGCGCACAAGAUACGUUCUCUCCCUCCACAACCACUUGCUCCUCAUCUACUUUUCUCCUCCGCCUUCCACUCAUCCUUGCUCCUGCCUGCCGUCGUGCAUCAUCAUCUCCGGCCAGGGCCAGGGCAUUCGUCUCCGCCUCCGGUCCGGCCUCCUCCACACCGCGCCCCCCCCCCCCCCCAGACGCGUCGCUGCGUAGCUGCUGGCCGCCAUGGCCACCGUCAUGGCCGCGGCCGUCUAGUCCUUCCCGUCCUCCUCGGCCGUCGUCGCCAAGGCGUCGCCGGCGUCCCCCUGUGCCGCCCCGCACUUCCGCCCGAGGGCCGUGCGGGCCGCUAUCCGGGCGCAGGCGUCCGCCGUCGAGGCGCCCGCCACGGCCAAGGCCAAGAAGGAGUCCAAGAAGCAGGAGGAGGGCGUCGUCACCAACCUAUACAAGCCCAAGGAGCCGUACGUCGGCAGGUGCCUCCUCAACACCAAGAUCACCGGCGACGACGCGCCGGGGGAGACGUGGCACAUGGUCUUCAGCACCGAAGGUAGGUACUGAGGUUAAAAAAAAAAUCUGAUUUUUGCUGCCUUGUUCGUUCGUUCAAUUGCUGUAUUCGUAUCGUAUGUAUAUACGCUGAUGGACGCACGUACGCAGGCCCUUCUUUGCCUGCGCGAGGUCUCAGAAUCCGGGGGGAAAAGAAAAGAAAAGAAAAGAUGAUGACUGUCUCUACCUCUUGCUACAUGUGCCGCUCCCUCGUCCGGGCUCCUCCGCUCAAGUCCAGGAGUGCAGUGCGCUGUCCAAGCGCCGCCCCGCCAGGUGCUAGCGGUGCCACCUCCACCUCCAAGGUAAACCCACACCUACUACCUGUGUGCUUCGUAAGGUCUAUCUACACCUAUAGGCUGCAGCCACCAGCACAGGAAUAUGUACUAGCCUGCUCGUUUCAGUUGGAACAGUAUUCUCCAGUUUUGGAUUGGAACAUGCAGCCACAGCCAAAAGUAGCUGAAGCGAUUGGAGUUGUAGCUUUUCGGGGAUAAUCAAAUGAUAGGAGAGUGGAGGUGGUAGAUCAUGUGUAAGCUUUAGACUACUGACUGAUUCACUUGUCUAUCCGGCGCUGGUUGCUUUCCCUGUGUGAAGCUUGUCCUAGAGGUGAAAGAACGGCUAGCAAGGGAGCACCCAGGCCUCCCCACGGGCAGGAACGGGAGGGACGAUGACGACAUGGUCCUCUGGUUCCUAAAGGACCGCAAGUUCUCCGUCGAUGAAGCCGUCUCCAAGCUCACCAAGGCGAUUGUAUCCUCUAAUUCACUCGCUUGUAGCAGUGAAGCUCACACCUAAUAUAUAGCUUCUUUACUGGCUCACUAAAUUCCUGGUAUGGUAACCGAGUUCAUAUAGCACUGCUAUCUUCAGUUUUCCUUUCAACUGCAUUAGAAAUGGCGUCAGGACUUUGGUGUUGCAGAGUUAUCAGAGGAAUCAGUGAAAAGCCUGUACCAAACUGGCAAGGCAUAUGUACAUGAUUCCUUGGACAUUUAUGGCCGACCUGUGCUGAUUGUAGUGGCAGCCAAACAUUUUCCUUCGGUGCGUUCCGUUUGUUUCCCAAUCUUGAUUUGGAAAUGCUCAACAGGAUAGUGGCUACACACUGUUUCCAGUUUUUUAGAAUAGUACACAUAACAAAGGCUGACAGUAUGCAGUGGAAAGUAUCAGUACUUCACACCUCAUAGCAGCUCUAAAAUUAAACUACAUGGCUUGGCUAGCUGACCUGUAACCUAUGGAUGUCUUAGUAUUCAACAUGCAUUUGUUCUUCAUAAUAAUGAUGAUCCAUGUAUAAUAUGCUACUGCAGACACAGGAUCCAGUUGGAAACCAGAAGUUGUGUGCCUAUUUGGUUGAGAAGGCAGUCAGCAGACUUCCGCCAGGAGUAGAGAAUAUACUUGGGAUCUUUGAUCUGCGAGGCUUUCGGGUUGAAAAUGGUGAUCUCCAGUUCCUAAAGUUUUUGGUGAGUUUGGUAGCUUCAAGGCAUGACUAAGCAUCUCUGAUUACCUUUUGUGUUGUUCGGUGGUAGACAGGCAUAUUUUUAUUUGUGACGAUAUGAAUGAAACAUUGUGUUUAUUUGUGACGAUAUGAAUGAAACAUUGCAAAAGGAGGGCAGUAAUGCCACAGUAAAAAAACUGGUAAUCAUUCAUGUAAGGUAUACAUCUGUUGAAAAAGUAAUUCCGGCUGAAUAAAAUAAGAAACUUUUUCCUGGAUAUGAAAACUCUGUUGAUGCAUGCCAAUUUAAAAAACAAAGAACGUGCAUGUUCAUGCUCCCAGAAGUCAGAAGGCGAAAAAGUUUAUCUAAUGAAUUAAUUCAAAUCACAUACGGAUGGAGUUCUAAUUCUUGUUCUAUGUUGCAACUAAUAUACAUAUAAACAUGAUUUUUUGGGGUAUAUGCAUCGCAAUUAAUGUCCCCUCCCAUUCCCAGAUGGACGUUUUUUACUAUUACUACCCGAAGCGGCUUGGCCAAGUUCUUUUUGUCGAUGCUCCUUUUGUUUUUCAACCAAUGUGGCAGGUUGUUAAACCUCUGUUGAAAUCAUAUGCCUCCCUGGUAUGCUCUCCCUCUCUCUUAGGUUAGCGCUUCAUCGAACGAUAUGGAUAACCUUACAGUCUACUGCUAUGUUGCCCCUGCUAGGUAAGAUUUUGUGAUGCCGAGACUGUGAGGAAGGAAUACUUCAAAGAAGAAAUCGUGCCUCCUGAUUUCCGCGAUUAGGUGACAUGAUUAUUUCUUCAGUAAUUGCAAGUCAGUUUUACCUCUGCCUUUGUGUAACGAUUGAAAUUCUAAAUUGUGCAGAUUACUUUUAGUUUUUCCAAUCUCUCCUAAAAGCUAUUUUGCAGAAAUGUGCAGGUGGUCUCGGAAACAUGGCCUUUAAUUUAUUGAGAAUCGAUUGGCACCCAGGGGGACUGGCGCCUUCCCAUACCUUUGGAUUAACCUCUCAAAAGUUGCUCAGACGGCAGCAAAUGAUUGGAGAGUCCAGUAAAAAAUGACCCA
RNAcentral lists this long non-coding RNA (52750 nucleotides) under Zea mays. Its description in RNAcentral is "long non-coding RNA (ZMAY_LNC005270)". The record is from RNAcentral. Lineage: Eukaryota; Viridiplantae; Streptophyta; Magnoliopsida; Poales; Poaceae.